This 70784-nucleotide long non-coding RNA is filed under the name Jatropha curcas. Its description in RNAcentral is "long non-coding RNA (JCUR_LNC000127)". Lineage: Eukaryota; Viridiplantae; Streptophyta; Magnoliopsida; Malpighiales; Euphorbiaceae. The record is from RNAcentral.
AAGAUAAAUAGAGCUCUUUAAGCCUCUUUUGCAAAAAUUUUACUAUAAACCAAGAAAGCAGUUAGUUGCAAGAUUGUAGAAAUUACAUAUAAUGGCUCGCCGACCAUCAGCCGGAGGUGGACGGAGCUGGAGAUCUUGCUGGCCAUCAAUAAAACGUGGUAGAGGGAGGCCUUUCGGGAAGUCAAAUCCCUCAUCAGAGGUCACUCCUCGCAAUUUCUUUAGAGUAAUCCUCCAAAAUAUAAUUGAAGAAAAGAAACUCGUAACUGAUAAUCCUUCAAGAAAAGGUUAAUGACUCUUUUUUUUAUUCUGUUCUUUAUGAACUAACAGUUUUUCGUUCUUGAUGUUUUGUGGAAUACACGAAUAUAACACAUGAUUUUCAAGAGCAUCCCAUCAAAGUUAUUUGUCAAGAGACUUGGAAUUGAGCUUUCUGAUAUAGCACGAACAGCAAGACUGUCUCUUCGUGAUGGAAAAGUAUGGGAAGUUGAGGUAACAAAGAAUGAUAAAUACAUUUGGUUUGACAAAGGAUGGUCAGAUUUUGUUGAAGACAACUCAAUCUGCCAUCGUUACCUUCUAAGCUUUGAUUAUAAAGGAAACUCAAACUUUCAUGUCAUUAUCUUUGAUCCAUCGACUUUUGAAAUCAAUUAUCCAAACAGUGAUUUUGAAAAUGAAAAUGAAAAAGUCGGGCGUGAAAAUCAUGAUCCUGAACGUGAUGAUUUUAGAAAGAGGACAAAGUUGGAUCAAGCAAGGGGAAAAAUGACCAUGACUGAAAUGCGCUGCGCAUGCAAGGAGUGUAAGAGUAAGUUAUAAGAUCAGAUUCAGUAGGUUAAUUGUAAUGGGUUUAAUGUAAUUGUUAUUUGAAAUUGUAAUUAAGUUUAAUUCAAUUGCACAGUGUCUGAUUAUAGAUCGUAACAUACCUAUUGUAUAGUAUCGAAUGGAAAAAAAAGAAGAAUAUACAAAAUUGUUUUUAAGGAUUACUGCAUUGAGAAAAUUGAGAUAUAGAUGCAAAUGCAAUGUUAUCUUUCCUGUUUUGCUUUACUGCGUUUCUUCAACGAAAAAUGGCAAAUUUGUUAUGUAAUGAGAGCAAAUGUAGGCUGUUGCUCUUUUCACGAACUUGGCUUGUUUUUCCAUUUGGAGUGUGUAUGUCAGUAAAAUUGUCAAGUCGAGCAUUCUCAUGCAAUUAGAAUGCUUUAACUAAUUAUUUAAUGUUUUUUUAAAUAUUCGAAUGAGGGUAAUUUAAGAACUUUAAAGGUUACACUUAUUUUUAGUGAAUUUUUCAUAUAAGUCUUAGCAUGAACUUUAUUCUAAUUUUUCUCAUUUUUUUUAAUUUUAUGGGUAGGUGAAUAUAGAAAAAAGAAAGAGAUUAUGGCUCGAAGGUCAAUCACAUUUAAAACUCAGAUCGAAUUUGAAAGCUCUUUCCAUAUGUCUAGCCUGCGGAGCUAACUUUUAUGUUAAACGGCUAAAACCAGUGUUCUACCUAUUCGAAUCGGCGGUUCCAGUAAUUUUUUUAAAAAAAUUUUUCAAAUGGUUUUGUGAAAUCCUCAAAUUACCCUUGUUUGUCCAACUUUCACCCAAAUUUAGGUGGCCUCGCUCUUUCCUGGUUUUAAAUUGCAUGACACAACUCAAGUUAAAAGCUAAAUUGCUGAAAUUUUAUUCAUUUCUGAGUAGGGUUCUGUCCAUGGAUGGAGACCGCUCUUGAAUUCGGGCUUGUUGUUUCCUGUUGUUGAAUAUGUAUGCCAUGAAGAAUCGCCAACCUGGAAUUGGAGAUUUCAGAACACACAAACACUAUACCUGAAACGCAACACAUGAAAAUAUGACUACCCUAGACCAAACAAGACAACAGACUACAACAGCACCUGAACCAGAACACCAACAAUACAUACUAAAUAACCAGACAGAACCUGCUCAGACUUUACAACCAGGCUGGCCGUGGCUAUGAGCAAAGUCUAGGCGCCACACGCGUGCCAAAGGCUCCGGAGCCAAUAAACCAUGAAAGUGAAUGUUUAGAAAAAAAUAAAUAUUCUAGAACUCUCUUUUCCAACAUUCACAACUUCAAAAUCAGGAGGCAGAGAAGCCAUUAAAUUUUGUUAAGAGUUACAAAAUUAAUAAUGGCUCGACACCAACAACUAGGGAGAGAAGAACCUCUGGAAAUGGAGAACAGAAAUGGCCACCAUUUCUAUAGAGUAAUCUUUCAAAAGAUAAUUGAAGACAAGAUCCUGAUAAUUUAACACACAUAAAUUAUUCCUUACAUUACAUAUACAUAAUGCUACAGAGAAAAUGAUUUAUUUUAGUUUCUUUCACCUUAAUUUGCUUCUGUAGCCAGUUUUGGUCAUGGAGUCUUGAAUCUUGAAUUCUUGAUUAUAUUUUCUCUAAUUUCUUGAUUUGUCGGAAUAAUGUUUGAGCGGAUUCCGUUAAGGUUAUUUAUUAAAAGCGUAGGAUCAGACCAACUUCCUGAUUUAGCAAGAUUUGUGUUCCUAAUGCAAAUGAAUGGAAAGUGAAGGUAAGAAAACAUGGGAAAAAACAAUAUUUGUUUUGUUGAUGGAUGGUCAAAAAAAAAAAAAAAAAGAAAGAUAAAAAAAAAAACUCUUGCAAAAUUCAUUCUUUCAAAUUCAGAUGGCAGAGAAGCCUUAAAACUCUGUAAGAUUUACAAAAAAAAAAAAAAAAAUGAUAAUGGUUCGCUGGCCACCAGCUGUACAAAGAAGAAGGCCUGGCCUUCCACCAAAGGUGCUGAGUGGAAGACCUUGCUGGGAGUCAAAACCUCCAGCAGCGGAGAGCCCGCGUGGCUUCCAUUUCUUCAGAGUAAUCUUUCAAAAGAUGAUUGAAGACAAGAAACUGGUAAUUUGACACACAUAAUUAAAUUAUUCCUUACAUGCAUAAUGCUAAAGAGAAAAUGGUGUUUUUUAAUUUCCUUCACCUUAAUUUGCUUCGUAGCCAUUUUUGGUAAUGGAGUCUUGAAUCUUGAAUUAUUGAUGAUAUUUUCUUUAAUUUCUUGAUUUGUCGGGAUAAUGAUCCAGCGGAUUCCUUUAAGGUUAUUUGUUAAGAGGGUAGGAUCAGCAGAUCAACUUUCUGAUAUGGCAAGACUUUGUGUUCCUAAUGGAAAUGAAUGGCAAGUUAAGGUAAAAAAGGAUGGAGAAAAUAUUUGAUUUGUCGAUGGAUGGUCAAAAUUUGUGAAGGAAAAUUCAAUUCGCGAUCGCUAUCUUUUAAGUUUUGAAUACAAGGGAAGUUCUUGUUUUCAUGUUAUUAUCUUUGAUCGAUCUACUUCUGAGAUAACUGAGUAUGGAAAAAAUGAAGACAAAACCAAGUAUAAGAAUCAUGAGACAGAAUGUGAUGAUUUUAGAAAGAGGACAAUGUUGGAUCAAACAAGAAGGAAAAAGCCUAGGACUGACAAUGAGAUGGCCAGCUCAUGCAAGAAUAAUAGUAAGUUAAAAACCAGAUUCUGUAAGUUUAUUCAUAUAAUUUUAACUUGAAUUUAAAUUAACAUGUGGUGGAAUAAAAAUGCAGAGAACAAAGAAAAAAUGGAAGUCUGUUGCAGUAAGCAAUACCUGAAAUUUUCUAGAAUACAAUCACUGUCUAAAGAAGGCAGGAAGAAAGCAAUUCUUGCUGCUGAUACGUUUGAGCCCAUAAACCCUGCCUUUAAGGUUCUCUUGCGAUCAUAUAACUUCGAGCGGAGUAUGUUGGUGAGAACCUAAACUACUUAAUUAUUUACUUACACUGUGAUAAUCUUAACUAAUAAUCUAUGUGUACACAUAUAUAUGCAGCUGGUGCCAAGUAGCUUUGCUUCAAAGUACAUGACUAGGGUUUAUGAAGAAGCAGAAUUUGUGUGUCCUGAUGGAAGAAAGUUCGGAGUUAGAAUCAGUCUCUGGGGUCCUGGCUUGGCUUUUGGAAAGGGAUGGGCUGCAAUUUCUCAACACAUUAUGUUGAAAGAAGGAGAUGUUGUGAUGUUAGAGCUGAUCAAUAGUUUUAUUGGUUAUCUGUUUAAAAUCAGAGUGUUCCGAUCAUGAACGAUGUCUAGGUUUUGGGUUGUUGAAUUUCACGGGUUUUACAGUCUAAUAUAUGAUGCUGAUACAGUAAUUGUUCAGUUGAUUAAGCUUUUUGUUUAAUGUAGUGCGAUGCUUUUGUUGGAAAUAUUAUUGCCACUUCUAAUUCAAAUAUCUUUCAAAGGAUUAAUUAAAAGAUUUCUUAAAUGUGAGCGCAUAUAUGUGUGUGUCAGAAAUUUUUGGAAUUUUUCAGGAAGCAGAACAAAUGAAUUUUCUGUUGUGACUUGUGAUAAUAUAAAUAGAACAGAUCCAUAUUUUGACCAGUUUGCGAUGCUACUGCAAACAUUUAAAACCAGAAAAUCACAUGUUCUGAUCUUCACUUCCAUUUGCAAAUAAUAGAUCACCUACCUAGAAAUUGGAAACGUAAAUUUUCUGACCAGAAGCCAAUAUGGUUAUGGCAAUACUUGAUCAGAUCAUCUGACACUGAUUUGAAAUUUGCCGAGAGAUUGGUUAAAUCGCUUCAGUUUAUUCUUCUGAGAAGAUGAAUUAAAGAAAAUAAAUAUUGCUGUUAAAUUUACUGGUUGACAAAACAUGCAAAACCCAAUAUAUUAAAAAUGGAAGAAAUUUUUAAUGAAUGGAAUGGAACAAUUCCGGUACAUUGAUAAUGGAUCAGAUCCAUUCCUUUGCUCAAUAUUAUAAACCAUAAAAUGUGUAUCUUCCUCAGAAAAAUAACUUUAUAAAAAGUAAAAACUCUGUCUUGCAAGAUUUAUAUCAGGCUGAGAAGCCAUAAAACUCUGCAAGAAUUACAAAAACAAUAAUGACUUCCCGGCUAUCAGCUGAACAGAGAAGAUCGCCUGGCCGGACAUCAAAGAGACGGAGAGGAAGACCUCACCAGGAGUCAAAACCUCCAUAGCUGGAGAGCACACCUGGCCGCCAUUUCUUUAGAGUGAUCUCUGAAAAGAUAACUGAAGACAAGAGAAUGGUAAUUAACACACAAAAAUGGUUUAUUUUUAUCUCUUUCACUUAAAUCUUUAAUUUGCUUCUGCAUCCAAUUCUGGUCGUAGAGUCUUGAUUCUUGAAUUCUUGAUUAUAUUUUCUUUAACUUCUUGAUUUGUGGGGAUAAUAUUUUCAGCGGAUUCCGUUAAGGUUACUCGUUAAGAGCAUAGGAUCAGAUCGAAUUUCUGAUGUGCCAAGACUUUGUGCUCCUAAUGGAUAUGAAUGGCAAGUGAAGGUAAAAAACGAUGAAAGAAACAUUUGGUUUGCGGAUGGAUGGUCAAAGUUUAUAAAGGAAAAUUCAAUUGUGGAUCGCUAUCUUUUCAGUUUCAAAUACAAGGGAAAUUUUUUUUUUUCCAUUUUAUUAUCUUUGAUCCAUCUACUUUUGAGAUAACUGAGUAUGGAAAAAAAAAAUCAAAGAAGCCAGUCAAGAAAAUCACGAGACAGAAUGUGAUGAUUUUAGAAAGAGGAGAAAGUUGGAUGAAACAAAAGGGAAAAAGCGCAAGAAUGAAAUUCCCAGCUCAUACAAGAACAUACACAAAUGUAAUAAUAUUAAAGAAAAUUUUCUAUUAAAAAGAUUAUUAAAUACUAAUUUGGAUGUAAGAAAUGUGAAAUCAAUAGAUUUUACAAGCCAACCAGGUGUAACUUGUUUUUUUAUCACUUAUAUGGAUAAUAGAAGCCUCCAUUGUAUUUUUUUCUCGCUUAUGUGGAUAACGAAAAAUCUCAAUUUUAAGUUAUCUGGAUCACAAAAGUUUUCUCACUUCUAUUGUAUAGCUUGCAAUAUCAUUGGGCCAAAUUCUAUUCAUUAGGCCAAAUAAUUAUAGACAUCUUCUAUUGAGAUUUAAAAAAAAAAAAAAAAAAACUAUAAGAGAAUUCAUGUAAUACAAAACAAAGACAGUGUAACUAAUUAGUUUCAAAAACUAUAAUGUUUUAUACUACUGGUGUGCAAGUAAUUUUAUAUUUUUUUUGAGAAUGAUGUUUAAGAAAUUAUUUGAUUUAGUGUUUAAAAGUUUAAAAUUAUUUACAUUUUUCAAUUAAUUAUUAACAAUUUAAAAUUUGUAUAAAAUUUAUUUAAGAUAAUAAGUUAAAUUCUUUAAUUUAAAACUUUCAAGGAAUACAAUAAGUUUCUAAAUUGUAGGUAAGUCUUUAGCUUAGGUUCUAAGUCAAAGUGAUAAGUUAAAGAUACAUAAUUCGAAGAAAUUAAAUUUUAGUAAUUGGAAAUACCAAAGCUAACCUUCAUUUACAAAGGUAAUUAGAUAAAUAGAGCCCUUUAAGCCUCUCUUGCAAAAUCCUUUUUAUAAACAAAGAAAGCAGAAUUAACCGUUACAAGCCUGUAGACGUUACAUAUAAUGACUCGCUGGCCAUCAGCGGGAGGUGGACGCAGGGGGAGUCCUCGCUGGCCAUCAACAGAACGUGGCAGAGGGAGGCCUUUCCGGAAGUCAAAUCCUUCAUCAGAUGUCACACCUCGCCAUUUCUUUAGAGUAAUCCUCCAAAAUAUAAUUGAAGAAAAAAAAACUGGUAACUGAUAAUUUCAUAAUCCUUAAAGAAAGGUUAAUUACUCUUUUCUUUUUUGUUCUUUAUGAACUAAUAGUUUUUCUUUCUUGAUUUUGUGGAAUUAAAAACAUAAUAUAUGAUUUUGAAGAGCAUCCUAUCAAAGUUAUUUGUCAAGAGACUUGGAAUUGAGCUUUCUGAUAUUGCAAGAAUCGGAAGACUGUCUCUUCGUAAUGGAAAACUAUGGGAAGUUGAGGUUACAAAGGAUAAUAAAAACAUUUGGUUUGACAAAGGAUGGUCAGAUUUUGUUGAAGACAACUCAAUCUGCCAUCGUUACCUUUUAAGCUUUGAAUAUAAAGGAAACUCAAACUUUCGUGUCAUCGUCUUUGAUCCAUCGACUUUUGAAAUCAAUUAUCCAAACAGUAAUUUUGAAAAUGAAAAUGGAAAAGCAGAAUCAAGAACUGAUAAGAUGAUGGGGAAAAAGGAGGACAGGUUGGUUUUAAGCAAUGAAAAUGAGAAGGGUAAGCUCAAAACUAUAAUUUUAUAACUGAGUUCUUUCAUUUUUCUUUAUGAUUUUUAACAUUUAAUAUAUUAAAAAUAAAUAUAUAUGCAGAUGAGAAUAAAAAUGUGGAAGUGGAAGUUUAUUGCAGUGAGAAAUACCGGAAGUUCUUUGCAAAGGCGUCUGAUGAAAUCAAGAAAGCAAUUCUUGAUGCUGAUAUGUAUAAACCGACAAAUCCUGCAUUUAAGGUUCUCUUGCGACCAUAUAGUAUCAAUCGGAGUUUUCUGGUUAGAACCUGAUCAAAUAUUUACAAUUUCUAUUUCUUUUAGGAGAAUCUUAACCAAUUAUAUAAACAUGCAGCUGGUGCCAAAUAGCUUUUCUGCAAAGUACAUGACUAGGGUUUAUGAAGAAGCAAAAGUUGCGUGUCCUGAUGGAAGAAAAUUCCUAGUUAGAAUCAGAGGGUGGGGAACUGUUACGGGCUUGGCUUUUGGAACUGGAUGGGCCAGAAUUUGUCAACACAUUGAUCUGAAAGAAGGAGAUGUUGUGAUACUUGAGCUGAUCAAUAGUAGUAUGGAUUUUCUGUUUAAAAUCAAAGUAUUUCGAUCAUGAAUAAUAUCUAGGUUUUGGUUGGUUAAUUAAGCUUUUUGAACUCAUGAAUGUAAUAAUCAAUUAAAGCUUUUUUUUUAUAUCAGCAAUUUAAAUUUUAUUUAUUAAUCGAUAAAUUCAGAAAAAAAAUUAAUAUAUUUGAGUUUUAAAACUAAACUAACAGUCUCCGUAUACAUCCAACCUAAUUGAAAUAUAUGAAAAAUAGGUAUUAAUUAAAGCUAGAGUUGAAAAAAAUUUUCUGUUAGUGGGUUGAGUCAUUUCAAGAAUUAAUACCUUCAGUGAUGCUCUUUCAAGUUUUGCAACUGAUAUAGUCUUACUCUUCCAUUUGUAGCAAAUGAAAUAAUUAAUCUUGCAUGUGAGUUGGUCAGAACUGCUUAAUUAUUGUUGUUCUUUUACUUAUUGUUGUUCUUUUACUUCUUUUUGUUGAGCAAAUUGUUGCUUGCAACUUUUAGGUUUGUUAAUUAUGGUAAUUCAAGCUCAAAUAUUAAAAUACUCCAAACUCCAAAAUACAGGCUUUGGGCUCUAUUCGGCAGAAGCGUUUAAAGUAGUGUGUAGUGUUUUGAUAGAGUUAAAACAAUAUCUUAAUUUAAUUAUAGCAUUCGGUAAUAUAAUAUAUACUCUAGCAUUUAGAGUUUAAGACGGUAUUUUAUGAAACGUUAUCUUCAUCAAUCGUUUAGCAUUUUAUAAUCUUUUUAUGAUACCUAUACCAUCAAUUGUUUUUACUUUAUUCCUCGCUUUUACCUUAUUCUUCACUUUUAUAUUUUUUUGUCAUUUUAUAUUAAACAACUAAUUAAACAGUUAUUUGUACUAGGCACUUUUAUUUUAACUACUGUAUAAUCAUUAAUUACUAAUAGCUGAUAUUUAAUAGCUAACAACUAAUAAAACACUUAACAGCUAUUAAAACAGCUAAAAGUUACUAGACUACUAGAACAGCCAAAUUUGCCGACAGACAGAUGAGAAAAUAAUUAAGUUUUAUUAAUUAUCCAAAUACUAAUUGAUUAUAGAGUCAAUUUUUCAACGUUUAAAAAAAACUAUUGUAGGAUUUUUUUUUUUUUUUUUUGGAGUAUAAUAUUGUAGGAUUUCCAGUAAUUAAACAAUUUAAAUUUUUUAUCACAUAAACCAUUUAAAAAUCAUUCAAAUUCAGCACCUAAAAUUAAAAUUAUUAGCAUAUGAUAUAUGAGCCGUAAUUACAAGAAUAUGAAAUCCAUUAAGGACAUAUAGAUCAACCCAGGAACGGAAUGAAUAGAUAUUACAAUUAAAUGAUUACAAAUAUAAUAAUUCAAUCUGAGUUUCUUGUCGAGACUUCAAAUUUGCCAUUUUGGGUUGGAGAUGAUUUGCUGAGUCAUCAACUUUAGAGGGUAAGACAAGUAUUUAGUCAAUUCGUAGAGUUAUGGUGUCGGGUCUCUGUCUACAAAUAAUUGUAACCUUUCUCUGGAAACCACCACGAUUCUGUCAUAAAUCAUCACCGAAUCGAAAUCAAACCAUGGUCGAUGCUUCUUGAUUCUAAAUUAAUUCAAAAUCAUAUAUUUAUAAUUUAGUUCUAAUUUUCUAUGUUUUGAAAUUAAAACCGCAGGUUUUAGUCUACAGCCGGUGAUUUCUUUGAAAAAAUAAAAUUUAAAAUCAAAAAUUAUGGAAAGUUCGUCCAACUUUUUUUUAUUUUUUGUAGUUUAUUAAAUAAAUUUCAAGAUUUUUUUAUUUACCUCUUUUAGUCUUUUAUUAGAAGGAAAAAAAAAAAAUCCGACGAUUUUCAAAUUGUUUUAAGAACAACCCAAAAUCGUUGCAUUCAAAACCGUCGGUUUCGGAAACGUGUUCCUGCCUAUCUCUGUCCUUUCUUUUGAUGAACUCUGCCUCCCUGCGGGGCCAUAACCGGCUAAAAAUAAAGACUAGAGCUAUCAACAUAACCAUGAAAGCAAUACCCGUUUUUCUCAUACCAGAAUUCAGAUAAAAAAAAAACAUGAAGUUCUUCCUUUAUCUACAAGUAACCUUGUACACCAUUCUUCUUGCUAUAAUCCCAAUCUUUCUAGCCAUAAAAGUAAAACACAUCAGAAACGAGAAAAAUGAAAACAAGCCACCAGAACUAGCAGGGUCUUGGUCGGUUAUCGGUCACCUUCAUUUUCUUGGUAGAUCAAACCAGUUACUACACAGAGUAUUUGGCUCCAUAGCUGAGGAACUUGGACCAAUCUUCUUUAUCCGCCUCGGAAUUCAUAAAGCAGUUGUAAUAAGCAAUUGGGAAUUAGCAAAACAAUGUUUUACUACAAAUGACAAACUCUUUCUUACACGUCCAAAAUCUUUAGCAGCCAAAAUCAUGGGUUAUAAUCAUGCUAUACUAGGUUUGGCACCUUAUGGUCAAUACUGGCGUGAUAUGAGAAAGCUAGCCGUGGUUGAACUCCUCUCAAAUCGCAGGCUCGAGUUGCUUAAGCAUGUUUGGGAUACAGAAACUAAGUUUUUUAUCAAACACUUGUAUCAGAUUUCAGUAAAGAAUGGAGGAUGUGCUGUGGUAGAAAUGAAAGACAAGUUUAAUGAAUUGGCGAUGAAUAUAAUAGUGAAAAUGAUUGCAGGUAAGCGAUCCUUUGGUAGUUAUGGCAUCACAGACCAAGAUUCGAGGCGAUUUUCUAAGGCUUUAGCAGAUUUUUUCCGUUUAGCUGGGUUGCUCUUGGUUUCUGAUGCAAUUCCAUUUCUGGGUUGGUUGGAUUCUUUAAUGGGAUAUGUUGGUGAAAUGAAAAGGACUGCAAGGGAGAUAGAUAGUGCUUUAGGGAAGUGGGUAAAGGAGCAUAGAGAAAGAGGCUUAAAGGAAGUGUUAAAGGGGAGGAUCAAGAUUUCAUCCAUGUUAUGCUUUCUGUCAUGGAUGAUGGUAAGAGCUCUAUUGAUGAAAUUGAUAGAACUAUUAAGGGCACUUGCUUGGUAAGAAUCUAAUAAUUUUUCCUCUUUUUCUUUUUUAAUAUAUUAGGGAGGAAGCCCGAAUUUGAGUCUAUUCCUAAACCAAGAGAUGCACUAUCAUUAAUUUUUCCUUUUUAAAUUGAUUAUUAUAUCAGUAAGUUAAACCAGUAAGUGUGAUCACCUAGUAAUUUUAAAUUGAAAUGAAUCUCUUAUACAGUUUAGUAUAGUUAUACCAGUGGAAUACCAAAUGGCAUUCCAGAUAAAUGGUAUGAAACAACUCAAUUGGUAAAUGGUUUUCCUUCCCAUUUAUUGAUCAAGAUUCAAAUCCUAGACUAUGUAUUUACUUUUUCUUAGAUUUUUUAGUUCAUGUAUUAAUCUCUUUAUUUACAAUGAAUAAUUAUGGGAUUAAAUAUUAAAAUUAAUGUAAAUUCAAUGUUAUAUUAUCUUCCUACAGUUAAAAACAAACACUUGGAUAAUAGCAAUUUUGAGGUUUAAUAUAGAGACCAACAUUUCAUCCUCCUAUGUCCAAUACAGAUUUGUGUAUAAAAGCAUCCACUUUCUUCUAUACUUUUAAUACCAGACAAAAGAAGUUGCUAUACUCACCUGUCACUUGCAUGCUAAAUUUAACUUUGUGCGUUGUGGAACUUACGUGUAUUAGUGUCUUAGCAGGAUGAGAAGGCAACAUAUCUGAAAGUAAAUAAGAAAGUUGGUUGGACUAAAUGCCAUUUAGACGAGUUAUAGAAAAAAGCUAAUAAAUUAUAUGCACUCAACAUUUGAAGCCACAUUUUCAAGAUAUUGGUUGUCAAAUCACACCUAAGAAGUUUAAUAACGCUAUCAAACAGCAUAAUGGACAUUGUUAUCAACAUCUUUUUCAUUUUUCUACUUUAAUCUACACAACAAAAAUAGCCACCCUUAUUAUAUAAAUUAUCAUUUUCUACUUUAAAUAAUUCGAGUCAAAAACGUUUUAGUUGAAAUUUCAAAAUUUCAAUUUUUGAACCAUUCAAAAAUUUUGGCUGAUAUUACAUGUAUUGCAGAGUCUAAUUUUGGGUGGCAAUGAUACGACGAUGAUCACUCUUACAUGGGCUCUAUCUCUGUUGUUAAGCAACAGAAAUGUGCUUAAAAAGGCUCAAGAAGAGAUUGAGAUCCAUGUCGGAAAGCACCAUCAAGUGAAAGAGUCACAUAUAAAGAAUCUAGUAUACUUACAAGCUAUUGUCAAUGAAACAUUGAGACUGAACCCUGCUGCUCCACUCUCAGCACCAAGGGAAGCCAUGGAGGAUUGCACCAUAGCGGGCUUCCACAUUCCAGCUGGCACUCGCCUUUUCGUUAACCUGUGGAAAUUACACCGUGACCCUAGCAUUUGGAAAAACCCUUCUGAAUUUCAGCCUGAGAGGUUCCUGAAUGAGCACGCUAAUCUAGAUGUAAGGGGUCAGGAUUUCGAAUAUUUACCUUUCAGCUCUGGUAGAAGAAUGUGCCCAGGAGUAUCAUUGGCGCUCCGGGUUUUGCACCUAACACUGGCUCGGCUGCUUCAUGGGUUUGAAUUGGGGACGGUAUCUGACACUCCAGUUGAUAUGAGUGAGAGUCCUGGAAUGACAGUCCCUAAAGCAAAAGAACUGGAGGUUGUCUUGAGGCCAAGACUACCCGCAGUGCUGUAUGAAUGUUAAGUUGAAUAAGUACCAAGGAAAACUAGAGACUUGUAUAUGCAUACUGGGUGUAAAGAAUUCAGGCCAGAAAUGCCAUCCUCGUUGCAUGGAGAGCAUAUAGUCACUUCAUGAGAACAAUUCUUUUCAUAGCAUAAGUAACAUUACCGAGAUGUUAUUAAUCUGCAUUGUAACACUUUAGUUCUUCAGCAAACAAACAAAGAUUUAAGUUUAGUAAACUAGUCAAAUGAUAAGCAUAUUUGCAUUCCAAUUAAAUGUUAUAAGUGUAUUACACAUCAUAAAUGCUCCAUAUUUUAACCAGAGCUUAGUUAUAUAACACAUGAGAGAAACAGAACUACAAGCUAGAUAGUUUUGUGAGGACGACUGGAAUGACUUGUCAGCCAGGGCUUAUUUGCAAUUCCAAAAGUUACAUCUACUUUACUAUAUAAAAGCUGACCCGAAAAGUAUCCUAUCCCUGUUAAGAGAAGCCAUACUGUUUCAAUCCCACUUCGGAUUCAGAAGGGCCUAACACGUACAAAACUCAUAAAAAUAUGAGCAUAUAUGAUAAGCGCUGACAACAAGUUUAACAGACAGGAGAAUCAAACUGUUGACAAUGGGCAUGUAGAUGCCCUUCUCAUCAUAAUACAAUAUCUCAAGGAUGAGCUUGUUUGAAGCUAUCAAUGGCUAUAGGGACAUCUGUACCUCUAACGCAGAGUUGCUCAUACUCAGUUGACUGACCCCUCAGUGCACAUCUUGCAGCUAAUUUCAGGCAUACACACCCAAUGAACAACAAAAUUCCAGAGAGUAUCCAACUGAAUUGCAAGUUGGCCAGUGCUCUAGCCUUUAGUUCUGCAUCAACAGAUCUGCAUGCAAUUGCUCCAUGCAUGUCAUUUGAGCUGGCCACAGACAACUGUGUAACACAACCUUCAGGUAUAAAUUCAGGAAUCCAUAGCACAAAACCCAUAAUCAUAAACCAACACCCUUGAAAUACAACAGAAAUUGAAAGAAUGAGAGCUGCAGGAAAAUUGGACGGAAAAGUAGUUGCCGCUAAAGCUGACACAAGAGAAACGAACACUAUAAGCUGCAAGAGCCAAUGAUAAUGACCUUCAAGUCCAACAUGGUCAGUUGAAUGGAAAUGGAGAAGGAAAAGUUCUUGACCAAAAACAGAGGUUGCAAGGAUUCCACUGACCCCGGAAAGGAUAUCAGAUGAACAGGUUAUCUCUGCAGAAAGUGUGAAACCUGCAAAUAUUGCAAGAUGGAGAAACAUGGUUGCAUGUUCAAAGUUGUCAAGCUUGAAAGCAAAGUGGAGGUACGGGAAGUCCAAAAGUUGCAUAAAAAUUGCAAAGAUGGAGAAAGAUAGGAUGAAGAUAAGCUCCAAACAUUUGAUACAUGAAAAAGGGCCGUAAAAUGGGUACCAAAACUUUACAGUAAAGUUAGUAGAGCCUCUCAGGCAGUAGGCUCGGAUAGUGUUAACGGAGUGCCAUAAUCCAAGGAGGAUUAAAGCCAAAGCAGGUACAAAGUGCCCUACAAAUGUCCCCAUGCAAGCUUCUCUUAUCUCUCUCCAUUGAAAUAACCACCAGAAGCCUUAAAUACCUGAAGUAGUUGCUAACACAUCAUAGGAAAAAAAUUUUCAAACGGCAGAACAGUAUUGCAAUCUGUCCAAAUUGAGUGCAUCUUGCAUGUGUUUCCACAAAUAAAACUGAUAAAAAAGACAAGCAUGUAACAGUGGGACAUCACGAAAGAAGAAGGGUCCCCCAAUAAGAGAAAGAGGAAUUUUAUAGGGUCACGGAAUUUGACGGUGUCACUUGAUACUCUAAGAGCAUCAAAAUAAUGAAAUUUCAGAAGUGAUUCAACAUCAGUCAUUCAGUUUAAUUUUUAACGUCAAAGUCAUAAUAAUCAAUGAAUAAGAGCUCAAUUCUUCUGUUGAUUACUAUGAUUAGGUUUCUGUUGUACCACAUAGUCUUUGUGCCAUGUGCAAAAGAUAUGACUCUUCAGGAUUCUGAAGGACAGAUGAUUAACUUAUCUGCACAUAGUGGAGAGUGACCUGUCUCCAAUUUAUCAACCAUAGCAAGUAAGAUGUUCCCACUUAAAGAAAUUGACAGUCAUAUUACAACAAUAAAGUUACAGUCAUAUUACAACAAUAAAGUUAGUAAGAUUCAAGAUAUAUUACCUUCUACUGUAGUAAGAUAUGAAUGUUUGCAUUUGAGUCCAACUCCACUUCAAAAAGUAAAGUUUUUCACAACCAGGAAAAGCAGAAUACGAAGCCUGGCAGAAUCAUAAAAAAGAAAUUCAUGGAAAGACAUUAUUGGGACAUUUGAAGUUAUUUGCGAUUCAGGCAUUUGGAGACUAGCCUCUUUCAAUUUCCCCUCCCUUAACUUUCCUAGAAUCAUAGUUAGUCACAAUGGUAUAAAUAAAACAUUUCAUAGAGUUCACCUUUUCUAUUGAAAUUUCAAAUAAUAUGAAGCCAUACCGAGAACAACAGAAGCUAUUCCAUUUACCUAGAUGAAUGAAGCCUAAACAUCCAUAAGCAACUUUGUGAUCCAACAAACCAGGGAAGUUUUAAGAUGGUCAGGUCCCUCGUAUAGAAGGAAGCAAUUCUGCAGUUCUAUACGUUUCUACUAAUGAAAGCAUCACUGCAACAGAAACAGAGCCGCAAAAAUAUUUUCAGUUGCAGGAUGAAUAAGUUUGAUGCGGAAAAUGAUAGGAUAAUAGGAAACUAUCAAAGCUGAGCAUGUUCUGAAGAUUUUAUAUAUGAAAAGUUUAGUUCUGGUUCUAAAACUACAUCAACCAACAAAGAAACUAGUUUAUUAUUCAGGGUUUCUGUUUGCAAACUAAAGGGAGAAGUUUUAAACCCUUGUUUUUAGAUAAGAAAAAAAUGGUAGGAUAACCUAUUCGUUGAAGAAGCCAGCGAAUAGGAUAUCUAAUAUUCUAGCAUACUUUUAGUACCAUUCACCUGAAUGACUCUUGUCACCCAAACAUAUCAUGCUGAAGGACCAAACCACACCCCUACUGAGACAAAUAACAUCAUAUCUAAGCACAAACAAACAAAGCUGUUACUGCCAUCAGAUUCCACAUUAAUGCCCCAAUUAGAAACAUUCAUCAUGCAAUACUAUAUAAGCUAACUGAAAGUUAAACUGGGAUAGAUCCAGCAGGAAGUAAAUAAGCAGAUGAAAUAGCAACAUGGUUGCUUUCUUCUCUGACGAAUGAUUUAUACUUGGAAGCAUUUCAUCAAGAUAAUUGACAAAACUAUAGCUUCAUGAAAUACUCAAAACAUCUAAAUCUAAAUCAUAGUCUAAUUGAAAGUACAAAAUGGAAUAUAAGGCUUAAGCAUGUCUUUGAUGAGAAUAAGAGGAAAAUGAGGAAAUAAAAUUUAAAAAAAAAAAGUAGAAGCCGUUUUAUUUCUUCCAAGAUACACAAAAUCAUGGGGUUUUGUUUGUUUCCCCUAUUAAGUUUCAUUACAUAUAUUGCAUAUCAAAUGGUUACUCUGAUUAAGCACGCUUCAUAUAUUGAUUCCAGCAACUUAGAAAUAUAAAGUUGUGCAACAGGGGAACUCAGUAUAUUUACAAAUAAGGAAGAAGUUAAUUUUAAAAAGUACAUAUAUAUAUUUGUAUUCUCACAGUAAACCGUCUCACUCCAACAGUCAAGUAGUUAAUCAUAGAGAACCACAAUCAGCUUCUCAGUCCACAGUUGCAAAUUUAUUAGGAAAUGCAGGUUUUGAGCUAAUCCCCUCAAAACUUCUAACAAUUCGAAUGUUGUUGUCAAACAAAUUGAUUAUGAAUCACUAGUUUUGCGCAAGUCGUCAGCAUUUCCCAUCGCCUCAAUCAAAGAAAUGUAAGUGCUAUCAUCAGGGGCAAUGCCUUUACUAACCAUUUCUUUGAGGAGCUCUUCAGCAUGCUGUCCUUCCUGGUUUUUGCACAAACCCUGUAUGAGGGCAUUAUAAGUAAGAAGUGUGGGAUUGAAUCCUAUGCUCAGCAUCUCAUCUCUAACUUUAAAGGCAUCAUUCAUAUCACCUCUCCUACUAUACCCACUAAUCAAAGUAUUAUAACUAAUAUGAUCAGGUUUAAUUCCUCUGCUCUUCAUCUCUUCAAGAAGCUUGCGAGCUUCUUCAACUUUUCCCUCCCUACAACGGCCUCUCAUUAGGGUAUUGUAUGUCACUUCAUCAGGAAAAACUUUCCUUGUAUCCAUCUCCUUCAACAAUGCAAAUGCGCGAUCUAUAUUCCCAUUAGCACAGUGACCAUCAAUCAAGGCAUUGAACAUUAUAAGAUCUGGAAACACACCUUUGCGGACUAUAUUUUCAAACAGGUUGUCAGCUUCUCUCAUUCUAUUCCGUUUAUUCAAAACAUAUAUUAGUGAUGUGUAAGUUAUCCGUGUAGGCUGAAUGCCUUUACCUACCAUUUCAUUGUGAAGGCUAAAUGCUUUCUUUGCAUUCCCGCAUCUGCAAUAUCCAUUAAUCAAGAUGUUAUAGGUUAUUGAAUCAGGAAAUAUCCCUUUCUCUCCCAUGUUUUUUAUCAUAUCAUCAGCUUCAUCCAUCUUACCUUCCAAAAAUAAUGCAUGAAUCAACAAAUUAUAUGUAGACACAGUUGGCAAUAUACCUCUCUCAACCAUCUCAUUCCUAUAGCCAAAAGCCUUCUCCAAAUUCCCUUUAUUGCAGUACCCAUCUAUCAAGGUAUUAUAAGUCACAGCAUUUGGUCGCAAACCAAUUUCCUUCAUUUUCUCAAGCAGUCCAGAUGCCUCCUCAAGUCUUCCUUCUUUACACAUCCCACUAAUAAGUGAACCAUAGGUGUACGAAUCAGGUUCAAUGCCCUUAGUUUUCAUUACAUCAAGAAUCAUUCGAGCACCUUCAACUCUCCCUCUCCAACAAUAUCCAUGAAUUAUUGUGUUAUAUGUAACUACAUUAGGCUUAACCCCUAAACUCUCCAUAAACCCAAUAAACUCCUUAGCCUUCUUUAAUUUCCCUUCCUUGCACAAAACAUUGAUCAUUAUAUUAAACGUAUAAACAGUUGACUGAAUCCUCAACCUAAACAUCUCUGCAUACAAAACCCAAGCAACAUCUGUCCUAUUCAACUUCAGAAACAAACUCAACAUAUCAUUACAUGUUUCGAUCUUAGGAACUGUACCUUUUUUCUUCAUCAUAUCGAAACACAUAAAUGCAUUAUCACCUCUCUUCAUUUCACAACAAGCCCUUAUCAACAAAUCAAAAAGAAUAGAACUUUUAGUAUUUAACUGAUCCAGAGCACUUUCCAGCUCAUUAAAAACAUCCUCAACGGUAGCAAUAUUACUACUAAUGGUUUGUUUCAAAAGUUGCAAGCUAGCUUUUGGGGAUGGUGACGGAGAGAUUACAGCAAUGGCAAGGCAUUUGGUUUUGAUAUCAAGAGAGUUAAAUUCAAUGUGGGUUGUGAAUUGAAGAGCCAAAUCAGGUUUUUUUUGGAGGGACAAUAAAGUAGCGGAAACAAGGGAGGGUGUUAAGCUUGGAGCAAGGUGUUUGAUAAAAUGCCAACGAGAAGAUUGAAUUGACUUGAGCAGUUCUUGGUGGGUAGUUACUGGCGGUGAAGUUGUGGAAAAGUUUGCGUAGAUCUUCCGCGUCUGUGGGUGGUCAGUAUUCGGGCUUGGAGUUGAAGAGAGAAGUGAAUAGCAGUGAAGUUGAUAUGGGGCGGUGACAAAGGCGGGGUUGAGUUUACUGUGUGCAAGCAUUUGAGAAUUUAGAACUUUGUAAGGUCCCAUAUUUAGUGGUAAGGAAUUGGAUUCCUGUAAAUCGAUUGCCAAAAGAGAGAUACAAGCAGAGAGAGAGAGGGAGAGGGAGAGGGAGAGGGAGAGAAAGAAGACCAGAGGGUUAGGCUAUGGCAUUGGCGGCUUCAAACGGCAGUCGUACACUAAGCCUGGCAAGUACAGUUUUUUUUUAACUCAAAGUCUCAAACGACAAUGAGUAAGGCAUGUUAAUUUUAUUUUUAUUUCUCGCAUUAUUUAUUUAUUUUUUUUUAGGCAAAUAGAGCUUAAAGCAUUGCAUUGGACUAGGAUUGUGUAAAAUUUUUUUAAAAAAAAUUGAGUUUGAUAGAAUUAAAGUAUUCUUAAUAUUUUCACAAAUUUCUUAGAAUUAUACAUAGAAUUUUAUGGAAUUUGUGAGACUUUUUUUCAUAGAUUUUAAUUGACUGUAAUGAAAUUAGAAUGAAUUUUAUAUAUUCAAUAAAAAUUAAUUUCAAACAUAAUUAAAUAAAUUAAAAAGUUUUGGGCUCAAUUAAAAAACUAAAAAGUAAUAAAGGAUCAAAAAGUAACUUGUGUCAUUUUUUCUGAAAUCGUUUUUUUUUUUUUUUUCUUAGUUAAAACCUUACCAUCCACGACGAUGAAAGAUCUGCAAAAGCCAACAACUGUCACAUCAGAAAAUAACAGGUAUAUAUAUAUAGCUCGCGCAAGGAGGCGAUGCAUAUUGAGACAGCCCUGAUGCACGGCCUAUCGUUUGCAGCUCAUGGAGCCAAGCGGUCCGACCACAAUAAUGAUAGAUUGUAUUCUUCAACUAUUUCAGAGCUUUUUCAAUUUUUUUAUUGGAUUAAUCAUUAUCAAAUUGAAAUCAUCCCAUAAAACUUACAAAAAAUAAUUAAAUUAAUUAUGAAGCAACCGCGUUAAUAUUAAUUUUUAUCAAAAUAUCAAAUUUUCAGCAAAUGAAUUAAUUCAAAACUAAUCUAAUAAUUAAUAUAUUAAUUCACACUUUAAGGAAAGGGAUGAAAGUGGUACAAAAAUUUUAUGGCACCCACUUCUUUUCGCUCCGAUUCAUUUAAAGAGGAUAUAAAUAGUUAUAAAUGAGUUUGAAAUAGAUAUGGACAGUUAAAUUACUACUGUAACGGAUAUGAAUAGAGAAAUUACUAUCCAUAAUAGAUACAGGUAGGAUAUAAAUAUAAAUAUUUAGAUACCCGCUACUCAUCAACUGUUAUAUUAAACAAGCUUGGUAGUGGGUACCUGUAGGCAUUCUAUCCAUUAUUAAUAAAAAUGUAUUUUAAAUAAGUUUGAAUUCAUGUAGUUUAAGAUUCGUCAGUACGCUACCACUUUCAAAAGUACUUUAAACGAGAGUUUUACACAUAUACGAGUGGUAGAACUUAAACAAGUUUGAAUACUACACUUAAAUGAGUAUUUAAAUGGAUUUAGAAUGAAUAUAAAUAGUAAAAUUUAAAACGGGUAUCUAUGCAAGUAGUUUAAAUUUUGCGGGAACUCGCUCCACUCUCAUCCUUAUUAAGGAUUCAUACUCUGCUAGAUUUUAAAAGAUUUUUGAAAUCUUUGAGUUUGGAGAUAAUUUAAAUUUGCGAAUGACUAUUUUAUUCAUACCUAAUACUUUAAGAUCCAACGAAAUCAAAAAUUUUAUAAAAUAUUUCUACAUCAGUAAUUUUUUGAAUAUCAUCGGAUUUGUAUAAACUUUUAAAAAGUUAUAAUUGGACUUUAUAAGAAUACCAUCAUAAUUGACUCUUAAAAAAUCAUAAUUGAAUACUAUCAAAUUUUUAUGGAUUUUAUAAGAAUUUGAAUUGAAUAUCAUAAGAUUUUAAUAAACUCUGUAAAAAUAUAAAUUGAAUACCAUUAAAAUUUUAUAAUAUUUUAAAAUAUAAAAGAGUCUUAACGUAUAAUACACCACUAAUAAAUAGAAUCGAUUCAUUCGACUCGUUUAUUAACUCAAUUGCAGCUCGUAGCCGACCUCACCUCCUCUCUCCUAUCUCCAAAUCCAAAGCAUACAGAGAAAGAGGCAAGAAUCCGUUUCGACGAAAGAGCUCGAAAACGAUGUCUUACGACGAUGUGGAGAUAGAGGACAUGGAAUGGAACGAGGGGCUACAAGCUUACACAUACCCGUGCCCUUGCGGCGACUUAUUUCAAAUCACCAAGGAGGAUCUUCGCCUCGGCGAAGAAAUCGCCCGCUGCCCUAGUUGCUCCCUGUACAUCACCGUCAUUUACAACAUCGAAGAUUUCCUCGACGAUGGUAAAUCAACAAAGAAGAAGAAUAUCGAGCCUCGGAAGCAGCAACCAAUCGCUGUCGCUUAAAACGGAAGUUCAAGGUUUUCUAAAUUAUUCGUUGUGUCCUUUUGCGAGUUGAUAGGUUAAUCGCUAGGAUAGUCAUAUUGUGUUUUAGUCCAAUUUUGACCGUGAUAUUUGUCUGUUCGAUUCUCACAUAGGAUCAAGGGUUGUAUGGAUAUACUUCGAGUAAACAACGAUUGGAACAAUAUUGAUUAUAGUUUGGUAUUGAGAUGUUAGUUUCUUUGGUGUUUUAUUUUUUAUUUUUUAUUUUUAGUUUCAUUUAUGUUCAAUAUAUUUUCUGAAAACUGUAAUAUUGUCCUUAGAUGGAUGAUUCAUCUUUGGUUGCUUUUGUUAUGGGUUUCUUUAGUAUAUGGAGUUGGGUUGUUUUCAGGUUGUUUGAAUUGCGAAUAGCUCUGGCCUUUAAUGGGUUGAAGCUUUCUUAGUAUGCUGUUUGUGCUAUAAUUGGUGAACCAAAAAAAAAACAGAAUAUGGUGUAGGAAAUGUGUUCCAUGGAUGAUUAAUCUUUUGGUUGCUUUUUGUUACCCUUUUUUUCAUGUGUUAAUUUGCUUGAUUUCUCGCUACCUCAUGCUGCAAAUUGGACUAAUCCACACGAAUUUCAUUUCGAAUUCAUGUGUAAAUAAAUUUAAGUAGCUGGCUUUGAUAGAUUUUACUGAGAAUAUAAUCUUAGUGCCUUAUACCCUUGUUAAGUUUAGAGUUCAUUUGCACAUUCUAUCAAUUUUGAUAGAAUUUGGUUCAAGCAUGCGUAAACCAAUUUUGUGGAUGUAGAUUUCUGAAUGAACUUUCAUUUAUAUCAAACAUGAAAAUGUGAACUUUUCAAUGAAUUUCAUGAAAUUUUGUCGAGCUCAUUUAUAUGAAACAAGCUCCUACAGGUUUCUUUAGUAUAUGGAGUUAGGUUAUGUUCAGGUUGUUUGAAAAAUAACUCUGGCUUUUUAAUGGGUGGAAGCUUUCUUGGUAUACUGUUUGAGCUUUAUUUGGCAAAUCGUGGUGAAGGGGAUGUGUUUCGUUGAGCUGGGUCUUAGAAAUUGUGAGGAUGAAGAAAUGGGCACUAUUUAAAAAUCUGAGGAAACAUUUAUUCUAUCAUCCAUAGAGUUGAAAACAUUUUAGUGUAGAAAAGCAAUAUUCAUCUUAUGUUCCAAUUGGUGGUUGGCCAAGUUGCUUGUUUUUAGCAUUUCUCCUUCUGAAGCUCUUGAACAACUUCUGUGCCCAUACUUGUCAAAUUCAGUAGAAUCUAGUUCUUGCAUUUGAAAUUUGUUAUCAUAUUAAAUGUUUUAGACUAAUUGAUAGUUUUAUCAUCUGUCAGCUUGUUUUCCUCUUGCUCUUCUCCGAUUUUGUAUUGGAUGUCAUAUGUGCACCAUCUGCAUUUUGUAUCAUUGUCUUUAUGGUUUAAUUACUCUCUGCUAAUUUUCUGAAAAUGAAGAUGUGUUUUUCUUGUCGGGGUAUGAUUUUGAUUUAUUGUCUUGGUUAGCUUCUUAGUUUAGAAUAACUCCUAACUUAUUAUCCUAAAGCUUCAUGCUAGUGACCUUGAUGAGAGUAAAUGGAGCUUUCCUGGAGAAAGUUUGGUGCCAUGGACUGAUGACAGAAUGUGCAGAUAGGCAGAGAGAAUUUGUUAUCUUGGUGUUCUCACAUGGGAUCGUAUUAAUGAUAAAAUGUUUGGAUUGAUAGAAAGUGAAGAAACAGAGUGAAACAGAUUGAUGCUUUUUAUUUUUGGACAAGUAACAAUAAUUGAGAGGAGUGGAUUUGAUUUCUGGUUUCCUUCUUGAUUGACUUUUAUUUUGUACAGAGAAAUGAGGUUUCACAAUGCUGGUUCUAUUUCUGGGUUAAAAUAAGAACUUGAAUUUUAUAUUAUUACACAAUCAAUCUGCAUUUUCUUUUAACAUUUCUCAUUCCCCAUUUUCGCAAAACUAGUCUAUUAGUCUAAGAGAUUGAAGAGUAAUAUCCAACCAAACGCAGAGUGAAAUCUAAUUUCUCCGAUGGUUUGUGUUCUUGAUUGUUUUUUCCAUUGUCGUUCAACAAGAAGUCAACAUUUGGUGUCUUGUUGAGAAAUAAAUAGCUGAAUAAUAUAAAUCCCUUGUUUUUAGUUCCUUUCUGAUAAAAUUAAUAACAAUGUAAAGUAAAAUAUAAGCAGGAAAAAUUUUUGAAAUGCUUUAUGUGGGAAAAAAAAAAUUGAAGGAAAUUUUUAAAAUCAUUUGUUAUAUUAAUGAAUAUAUAAUAACCAACUAGAGUUUACAUAUAUAGCUAUAACAAUAUACAUUUUUCUCUCCAUUUUAUCCUGUUCAUAUUUAUAUAAUACACGUCAUCAAAAUAACUUAUUCGACUGAAUGAAAUUAGUUUGUUUUACUUCCAAAAAAAAAAAUAUACUAAAUUAAAAUUAUUGACAUCUCUUAUUGGAGUGGAAAAUUCGAUCCUAUCAUAAUUGAUAAAAUAAUGUUAUAUGACAUAAUGAUUAUAUUUUAAUUCUAAGUAUUUAAUUCUUGAACAUUAAAUAUAACUAAAUCAAUAUAAAAAAUUAGAUUUACAUAGAUGAUAGUUAAAAAAAAAAAUUAAGUUGAAUAAAUGUUAUUCAAGGAAAAUUCACUUUAAUGCAAUUAUUCCCUAGACCGUUGAAGUGGAUUUUAAAAUUUAUUAACAUUCUUAAAAAAGAUACCAUUAAUAAUCUUUUUGAUAUCCUCCCAAUGAAUAAUCCAUUUAUACGAAUAUUUUUUAAAAUUAUUAGUAUAUAUUUAUUUUAGACAUAAAGUUUAGAUUUAAUUUGACAUACAAAAUAUGAAAAUUUAUUGAUAAAUGAAUUAUAUUUUUAUAAUUCAUCUCAAAUUAAUAAUUUGUUAAUUUAUAUUAAAUUGCAAUAUUUAUUGCUAAUCACAAUUUAUGAUUUACAAGAAAGUUUUAUAUAUAAUGAAUUUUAAGUUGGAGACAUAUUCAUUAUUGGAAUUUAAAAGUAUUUUGUCUUUAAGAUUCUGAAUUUAAAAAAUAAAAGAGAAAAACAUAUAAAACCAAGUUUCUUCAAAACUUUGUUUUCCGGCAAUACGCUUGACAAGAACACAAGAAAGCAGGCGAAGCAGCAAACAGAAUGGAAGCAAAGCUCUGAUGCAAUACAGAGAGGAAUUAAACAGAGUAGAAGGAGAUGCAAAUCCAUAGCAAUGAUGCAAGGACUCCACCAUCAACAACACCAACUCGCUGCACUUCUUUCUGUUGCUCUCCCCACUGACGACUCCGCUUCCGCCUCUUCUUCAGCAACUGCCUCUGCCACCGCCGCCGCCUCAACAACUGCGCCCGCAACCACAAAAACAACUAACUCAGACGAUGACGACUCGUCUCGACUUGCUGCCAUUAACUCGCUCCACCGUGCGAUUCUCUUCCCUCCUAAUUCUCUCCUUGUGGCUCACUCUGCUUCUUUCCUUUCCCAGGGAUUCUCUCAGCUCCUCUCCGAUAAGUAUGCCUUUCUUUUCCGCUGUAGCAAUAUGUAUUUAUUAUGAAUUACGGCUAAUUUUACUGUUAUUAUAAUUAUUUUCCAAUUAAUUCUCUCUUAAUUCAAAGAUAAAAGUUAUUAAUCGCUCCAUUAUUGUUGUUCACUUGAAUUGUCUUGAGAAGUACACGUAUAAGUUAGUUAUUAUCUUUUCUUAAUUUUUUUAAGGCAGCAUUGAUAAUGCUAAAUUUGGUUAAAUUUUGCAAGUGAUACUCUGUUUGUUGAACUGGAGAGCUAGAUUUUAUCUGAUAAGUUUACAUGCUUUCUCACAUUCUCAAUUGACCACUUGGAGUGUUUCGUAUACGAAGAGGAUUAUUAGUUCUAAUUCAUCCAAUUGGAAUAGAAAGCUCAAUAUAAUUUGUAAUGAAACUCUGAUUCAGGUCAUAUGCAGUAAGGCAGGCUGCAGCUACUACAUAUGGAGCUCUCUGUGCUGUGCUUUGCUCAAUCCUUAUUGGAUCAAAAGGAAGGCAGAACCAUGUUAUGCUUGGAAGUCUGGUUGAUCGGUUUAUUGGCUGGGCUUUGCCGUUGCUUAGCAAUGUUAGUGCUGGUGAUGGAACCACAGAACUUGCAGUGGAAGCGCUACGGGAGUUUAUUGGUGUUGGAGAGGUUGUGGCUAUUGAGAGAUAUGUCUUGCCUAUCCUCAAGGCAUGCCAAGAACUUCUGGAGGAUGAGAGAACCUCCUUGAAUUUAUUACACCGGCUUCUGGGUGUUUUAUCUUUAAUUUCUUUGAAGUUUUCUCGAAUUUUCCAACCUCAUUUUCUUGACAUUGUUGAUGUGCUCCUUGGUUGGGUGUUGGUACCAGAUCUUGCAGAAUCUGAUAGAAGAAUUAUUUUGGAUAGUUUUUUGCAAUUUCAGAAACAUUGGGUGGGAAAUCUGCAAUUUUCUCUGGGAUUGUUAUCGAAGUUCUUGGGUGACAUGGAUGUGUUGCUGCAGGAUGGCAGUCAUGGAACACCAUCACAAUUUCGAAGAUUGCUCGCAUUGCUUUCUUGUUUUUCAACUGUAUUGCAGUCUACUGCUUCUGGGUUGCUGGAAAUGAAUCUACUUGUACAAAUUAGUGAAUCUCUUAGCAAAAUGCUUCCUCGACUGUUGGAUUGCUUAUCUCUGGUUGGAAGGAAGUUUGGGUGGUCAAAAUGGAUUGGGGAUUCAUGGAGAUGCUUGACUCUAUUGGCAGAAAUAUUAUGUGAAAGGUUUUCUACUUUCUAUCCACUUGCAGUUGACAUCUUAUUUCAAAGCCUGGAAAUGAAUAGCAGCGUCCAAACUGGAGUUGAUAAAAUCACCUCCUUUCAAGUUCAUGGGGUUUUAAAAACCAAUCUUCAGUUAUUAUCUCUUCAAAAACUUGGCCUCCUUUCAUCAUCGGUACAGAAAAUAAUACAAUUUGAUGCUCCAAUCUCUCAGCUGCGUUUGCAUCCAAAUCAUUUGGUAGCUGGAAGCUCUGCUGCCACUUAUGUUUUCUUGCUCCAACAUGGAAAUGAUGAAGUUGUUCAACAGGCAAUGACAAUGUUGAUCGAAGAGCUGGAGGUGUUAAGAGACAUACUAAAAAGAACUCUGAAUCUUGGAGAUGAGGUUAAAAGUGUUACAGGUUCUAAACCCUAUUCAAAAGUUGAGCUGUUUGCAUUGAUGAAAUUUGAUUUGAAAGUUCUGUUAACUUGUGUUUCCACGGACGGGAUAAACAAUUUGAUUAGCCAACCAGAUAUAGCUGCAAUUUACCUUAAUAGGUCAGAAAAGUUGGCAUCCUUUCUUGCUGAGAAAUUGGAUCCUUUUGAUCUACCUUUUCAGGCCAAUGUGGAGUUGCAAGUGAAUGUUAUCAAGACGAUGGACAGGGUAAGUGCAAUUGAGUUCUUGACCAUGUGCUGCAUGAGAAAUCAGACUAGCAAUAAAGCUUCUGCAGAUGUUGCUGAUGAAAAAAUUGGUAAUGACAGCUUCACGGAUGUGUAUGAUACUGUUAUUGUUGAGCAUCUGAGAAAAUAUGCUGUGAUUCUUGUUAAAUCUCUACAUGUUCUUUCUCCUCUUGCAGUUAAGGUAGUAGCCCUGGAAUGGAUCCAAAGAUUCUCUGAGAAUCUUAUUCCUAUUUAUGAGAAUUCAAAUGUGAAAACUUUUUUUUAUGAAGCAUUUGGAUAUAUUGGUAGUGUUGGAAAUAUUAUUUUCUCGGUACUUGAUGCUGCAUUUGAUAGGGAACCAAAAGUAAGGUCGCAUGUGGCUUUAGUUUUGGAGCUGCUUUUUCAAGCAAGGCUCAUAGAUCCCGUGUUUUUCUAUCCCGUAGCUGAAGUGGUCACAGAAAAACUUGGUGAUCCAGACAUUGAAAUAAAAAAUGCAUUUGUUAGACUUCUUUCCCAUGUCAUACCUACAGCAAUGCAUGUGUGUGGUUUACAUGCUCGAGGAACAUUCACCAAAUCUAGGUCAACUGCUCUUAUAAUAGGUAACAGUUCUAAUUUGCACUGGAAGCAAGCAUUUGCCCUGAAGCAGCUUCGACAACUUCAUUCUCAGCAACUUGUUUCCAUUUUGAGUUACAUAUCCCAAAGAUGGAAGGUGCCACUUUCUUCUUGGAUCCAACGGCUCAUCCACAGCCGUCAGAGUCCAAAGGACCUUCUCCUAUGUCAACUUGAGGAAACACGAAAAUUUGGUGCCAAUGCCCUAUGGAUGGACAUAAAAGUGGAUGAAGAUAUUCUGGAAAGAAUUUGCUCUGUUAAUAAUUUGGCUGGUGCUUGGUGGGCUAUACAUGAAGCAGCUAGAUAUUGUAUUUCAACACGCCUUCGAACUAAUCUUGGUGGGCCUACUCAAACAUUUGCAGCAUUGGAAAGAAUGCUUUUGGACAUUGCACAUGUGCUACAGCUUGACAUUGAGCAGAAUGAUGGAAACCUGAGUAUAAUCGGCUCUUCUGGUGCUCAUUUGUUGCCAAUGAGGUUGUUAUUGGAAUUUGUUGAAGCCCUAAAAAAGAAUGUAUACAAUGCAUAUGAAGGAUCAGCUAUUUUACCCUCUGCCACACGCCAGAGUUCCUUGUUCUUUCGAGCAAACAAGAAGGUUUGCGAGGAGUGGUUUUCUCGCAUACGUGAACCAAUGAUGAAUGCUGGUUUAGCAUUGCAAUGUCAUGAUGCUACAAUUCAAUAUUGUAGUAUGCGUUUGCAGGAGCUAAAGAAUCUUUUAGCUUCGUCUUUCAAGGACAAGUCCAGGCCACAGGUGUCUGAGAAUCUUCAUAAUAUCAGGGAGAGAUUUUCUGGAGACAUUUUGAGGGUUUUACGGCACAUGGCAUUAGCUCUUUGUAAAAGUCAUGAACCAGAGGCUUUGGUUGGUUUACAACAAUGGGCUUUAAUGACAUUUUCUUCCUUGCUUGUGGAUGAGAACCAGUCUCCGACUCAAAGUGGAGUAUCUGACCCUUUUUCAUGGAUCACUGGUCUGGUAUAUCAGGCUGAAGGCGAGUAUGAAAGAGCCGCUGCUCACUUCACUCACUUGUUACAAAAUGAGGAGUCACUCAGCUCUAUGGGUUCUGAUGGUGUACAAUUUGCUAUUGCACGUAUUAUUGAGAGUUAUACUGCUGUAUCUGAUUGGAGGUCACUAGAGUCUUGGUUACAAGAGUUACAGACACUCCGUUCUAAACAUGCCGGAAGGAGUUAUUCUGGGGCUUUGACAACAGCGGGCAAUGAAAUCAACUCAAUUCAUGCCUUGGCACGCUUUGAUGAAGGUGAUUUUCAGGCAGCUUGGGCAUGCCUGGAUUUGACCCCUAAAAGUAGCUCUGAACUCACACUUGAUCCUAGACUGGCCUUGCAGAGAAGUGAGCAAAUGCUUUUACAGGCAAUGCUGUGCCUUCUUGAAGGGAAAGUAGACAAGGUGCCACAUGAAAUCCACAAGGCCAAGUCGAUGUUAGAGGAAAUAUUGUCAGUUUUACCACUUGAUUCAUUAACAGAAGCACCGCCACUUGCUAGUCAGUUGCAUUGCAUCUUUGUGUUUGAAGAAUGUCACAAUCUUAUGGGUCAUGCGGUGAAAUCCAAGCAGCAUCAAUCAAUAUUAAGUUCUUACAUCAAGUCAGUGCAGUCUGUUAUGAACAGAGUUCAUCAAGAUUGUAAUCCAUGGUUAAAAAUUCUUCGGGUUUAUCGAACCAAUUUUCCCACUUCUGCAGUCACUCUAAGGCUCUGCAUGAGUUUAUCCAGUUUAGCCCGUAAACAGGGAAACCUAAUGUUGGCAAAUCGUCUGAACAACUAUCUCAGUAGCCAUGUGUUAAGUUGUUCUGAGCAGAGAAAUUGUGAUUUCUUAUUGUCAAAUUUGCAAUAUGAGAACUGCUUGCUCUUGUAUGCUGAGAACAAGUUUGAAGAUGCUUUUGCAAAUCUUUGGUCAUUUAUUCAUCCUUGCAUGAUUUCUUCUUCAUCUGCAAUAUCUGAUUCAGAUGACAAUAUUUUGAAGGCCAAGGCAUGCUUGAAACUUUCAGGUUGGUUGAGAAGGGAUUAUCCAGAUCUGAAUUUGGAAAAUGUUGUCCACAAAAUGCAAGUGGAUUUUAUUGGUGAUGAUAUUUCUUUGCUUAGUGGAGAUGGAUCAUCGGUCAAUGUUGGGAACUUAAGCAGUAAAUCAAGUCUAGGCGUUGUUAUUGAGGAAAUUGUGGGUACAGCUACAAAAUUAUCUGCACAGCUUUGCUCCACAAUGGGCAAAUCAUGGAUUUCUUAUGCAUCUUGGUGCUUCAGUCAGGCUAGAGACUCUUUAUUUGGCCCACGUGAAACUGUCCUCCACUCAUGUUCUUUCUCUUCUCUACUUCUUCCGGAAAUUAUGCCUGAAAGAUUCAGGUUGACUGAAGAUGAGAUGAAGAGAGUGCAGCAUGUGAUUUUGCAACUUUUUCAGAAUGAAUGCGAUGCUUUAAAUAUAGAGGGGGAAGAGUCGAAACUUUGGCCUAAUGCUGUGCAACAUUCCAGAAGUAAGAACCCUGUAGAGGCUUUGGUGCAGCAAGCAGUGGAUAUAAUUGAAGCUGCUGCUGGGGCACCUGGUGCAGAUGGUAAGCCCCUUUCUGUUACUGUAGCAUCACAGUUGCAAGUCUUACUAUGUGCUAAAGCUGGCCUAGAAGAAAAAGAUCUUUUAUCUCCACUUGAUGAUUUAGUUAAUGUUUGGUGGUCUUUGAGGAGGAGAAGAGUGUCUCUCUUUGGAUAUGCAGCUCAUGGUUUCAUGAAGUACCUUACAUAUUCAUCUGCAAAACUUUCUGAUUGUCAGUUGGCUGGCUCUGGGUGUGAGUCACUGAAACAAAAAACUGGCAGCUAUAUUUUGAGGGCUACCUUAUAUGUACUACACAUUUUCCUUAAUUAUGGAGUUGAACUGAAAGAUACAAUUGAACCUGCUCUUUCAACAAUUCCUCUUUUUCCAUGGCAGGUGAGAAGUUCUCUCCUUCUCUUAUUCUUUCAAACACACACACCACACAGACACAAAAAAAAAGAUAUUCCAUAUUUUUAACAAAGAAAGAUAUGUCAUAUUUUCAACUUUUCUUUAUCCCUUAUUUUUGGGUUGACGCAAUAACUUAUAUAUUCUUCCUCUGCUUUUGGUAGGAAGUCACUCCCCAGUUGUUUGCACGCUUAAGUUCUCAUCCCGAGCAACUCGUUCGAAAGCAAUUGGAAGGCUUACUAAUGAUGCUGGCUAAACAAUCUCCUUGGUCCAUCGUGUACCCAACACUAGUUGAUGUAAAAGCUAAUGAGGAGCAACCUUCAGAGGAGCUUCAACACAUUUUGAGUUGUUUGGUAAUGGAAAUUUUGUUUGUCAAAUAGCUAUUUACUGCAGUGCGUUUAGGUGCAUCUAAAAUUUUUAUUAAUAUCGAUUUGAUGAUUUAAAAUAAAUUGGUUUUCUUCGCUUAACUUUUCCUUUGACUCUAGUGAAAUCCUAUUUGGAGACACCUAUACUUAUUCCAUAUAACAUCUUAAUUGCUUGAUGCUAUGCCUUUUGGUUGUCACCUGGAAAAUCUGAAGCAAGUUACCAUGUAUGUUUCAGGGUGCUUUCACCAUUGUACUCAAUGCAUGCUUCCGGGAUCCAAUUUGACUGCAUAAUAAGUUUACUUGUAUGAGAAUAUAAUUUUAUCCUUUAUUCACAGCCUUUAAGGUUUGGAAGCCAAGUGAAUCCAAUGUUAGAGUGGGGAGUAUUUUACAUUUGGCUGAUAAGGGUCUUGAGAAAUUAUCAGUUCAAGAACAAACUUCUGUGAAAUAAACAGUCUGCUGAUAAUUAUUAUUGCUGCUGUAUGUGCCGAAUGUUUUUAUGAUAAUUUUUGAAGCAUCUUUCCUUAAUUGUUAUUUUACUUUGGUUUUUUUACUUAGACUGCUAAACUACAUUCUUGGUCAUCCCGAUUUUGCUGCAUAUAAACCAUUAUUUGCCAAGGGUUGAUUUAAUAGAAUUUGAUAAAAUUAAAUCACAAUCCUGUAAUAUGCAGUGGGAGCUAUAUCCAAGAUUAGUUCAAGAUGUUCAACUCAUGAUAAAUGAACUUGAAAAUGUUACUGUUCUUUGGGAGGAACUCUGGCUCAGCACACUUCAAGAUCUUCAUGCAGGUAAGUGGAGAUCAUAAUAUUGAGAUUUCUGUUAUUCAUGUUGCCAACUUUUAAACUAUACUUUUUGUGAUUCACGUUUGGGAUAUGCAAAAUCUGUGUUUUAUCAUUUACUUAGUGCCCAUUUGGAAUUCCUAUUGCAAGUACCAGAUUUUGGGCCAAAAUUAGGAAUAUAUUUAUUGACCUAAUGGAUAUAGCUACUCGGCAUAUAGUUUUCUAUGAGCCUGAAACUGAUUUUGCAAAAAGCUUGAAAUUUGAGUAUUCCCCAAAAUCAAUUUUGGACCCAAAGAAAACUCUAUUAACGAGUAGCUACAUACAUGGGCCACAUAUGACUCCUAAUCUUGGUCCAACAUCUGCUACUUGCAAUAGCAAUAAAAUGGGGCCCCUAACAUAGUUCCUAAUAUGGUCCAUGAAUAAUAGCGUACAACUUCCAAACCUCAAUUUAGAAUGAACCAUUAUGUGGCAGUUGGACCCUGAAGGUUUACACAAGAAAUAACCAUUCAAUCAGCAUUAUGCAUAUAGACUAGCAUUGUUCUUAUAUAGCAUAUUUUUCUGUUGGAACAGAUUAGGCAUACUCUCCAAAUACUUUACCUUUUAGGAGCACAAUGAUUUUGAGUUUCUGCUACUUGCUGAUUAUUGUUCUAUGCACUAAGAUCUAUCUGAAUUAAUUUUUCUUCCAGAUGUAGUAAGACGCAUAAAUGUGCUGAAAGAGGAAGCUGCACGAAUUGCAGAGAAUGCCACUUUAAAUCAGACUGAGAAGAAUAGGAUAAAUGCUGCUAAGUACUCAGCCAUGAUGGCUCCGAUUGUAGUGGCCUUGGAACGCCGCCUGGCUUCAACUUCUCGUAAACCUCAAACUCCUCAUGAACUAUGGUUUUAUGAGGAAUACAAAGAACAACUGAAGUCGGCCAUUUUGACAUUUAAGACUCCUCCAUCUUCUGCUGCUGCACUUGGAGAUGUGUGGCGGCCAUUUGAUGAUAUUGCUGCAUCAUUAGCAUCCUAUCAGAGGAAGUCAUCAAUAUUGUUAGGGGAAGUUGCACCCCAACUGGCUUUGUUGUCAUCUUCUGAUGUUCCAAUGCCUGGCCUUGAGAAGCAACUCACAUUAUCUGAAUCUGAUGGAGGUCUGAACACUACUCUUCAGGGAAUUGUUACAAUAGCUUCUUUUUCUGAACAAGUGACUAUCUUAUCAACCAAAACAAAACCAAAGAAACUUGUUAUACAUGGUUCAGAUGGUGAGAAGUACACUUAUCUUUUGAAAGGACGAGAAGAUCUGCGCCUUGAUGCUAGAAUCAUGCAGCUUCUUCAAGCUAUAAAUGGUUUAAUGCAUUCAUCUUUUGCAACUCGUAAGCAUUUGCUUGCUAUACGCUACUAUUCUGUGACUCCAAUCAGUGGUCAGGCUGGUCUGAUCCAGUGGGUGGACAAUGUGAUAAGUAUAUACAGUGUCUUUAAGUCUUGGCAAAACCGUGUGCAACUGGCCCAGCUCUCAGCAAUGGGUCAAAACAAUUCAAAAAAUUCCAUUCCACCACCUGUUCCUCGACCAAGUGAUAUGUUUUACGGUAAAAUCAUACCAGCACUUAAAGAGAAAGGCAUAAGGAGAGUAAUUUCACGUAGAGACUGGCCUCAUGAAGUCAAGCGUAAAGUUCUUCUGGAUUUGAUGAAGGAGGUUCCCAGACAGCUGCUCCAUCAAGAACUUUGGUGUGCUAGUGAAGGGUUCAAAGCAUUCAGCUCAAAACUGAAAAGGUAUUUUCUAAGGAACUGGAACUGAUCUCACAGGUCUCUUGUUUGUGCUUCGCACUUGAGCUUUCUAGGCAGAGAGGCCUGUGCAAUACACCAGUUAGCUUGCAUGAAUGCAAUCAUUGCUUACCUUAGUCUCAGUUCAUCUCUUAUUAUCUUUCCUUUAGCUCCUCUUUUAUAUGUCACUAUUACUCAUACAAUCUUUUAGCUAUAUUUGUUUCUUAUGUUGUUGCUUGACAGUUAUGUUUAACAUAUAUAAAUUGCAAAAUUUGGCGAACAAAAUGAUAAUGCUAGUUAUUCAUAAAGAUCUGCUGUUGCUUCAUGGAAUGAAUAAAUGAAAGAAGGAAACCUGAAAAGUACACUCGACCAAAUUUUGGUUGCAUGGUUGUACUGAAUUUGAUAGCCUAUCAAGUCUUUCUUUCACUAGGUAUCUGGCUUUAGCAGAUCAAUUGUUGGAAGGUGGUUAUUAUAGCAAAAUUGGCAGAUGGAGAAAAAAGGAUUUAAAGGAGUUGAAUUUAAACUUUGAUCAUAAAUUAUGUCUAUUGCAGUGAUACUCUUUCCCCUUCUGUGUUUGUAAUGCAUUGCAUGUAUCCCUAUCCCAUUCAGGAUUAAACAUUCAUUCUUCACUUGUAGGUAUUCUGGAAGUGUUGCAGCCAUGAGUAUGGUGGGCCACAUUCUUGGUCUGGGGGAUAGACAUUUGGAUAACAUUCUGGUGGAUGUCUGCAGUGGGGAUAUUGUACAUAUUGAUUACAACAUUUGCUUUGAUAAAGGUCAAAGACUAAAGAUUCCCGAAAUUGUUCCAUUCCGCCUUACUCAGAUGAUUGAAGCUGCUUUGGGAUUGACUGGAGUCGAAGGUACCUUCAGAGCAAACUGCGAAGCAGUUGUUGGCAUUUUGAGGAAAAACAAGGACAUACUCUUGAUGUUACUAGAGGUGUUUGUUUGGGAUCCACUUGUAGAAUGGACACGAGGGGAUUUUCAUGAUGAUGCAGCAAUUGGUGGUGAAGAAAGGAAAGGCAUGGAAUUGGCUGUUAGUUUGAGUUUAUUUUCAUCUCGGGUGCAAGAAAUUCGUGUCCCUUUACAGGUAUUUAAUCACCGUAGACUCUUGUAUAGCUGUAUAGGCGUUCUGUUCAAAGGACAAUAUCUAUAAUUUUUUGAGAUUAGUGUAUUUGAAGUGCAAAUUAUCUGUUGGUUUCUUACUGUCCUUUAGUUUUCUUGAUACAGGUACUCAUGUCUAAUUUACAUAAAUUUACUUAAUUUUACAUGAUGUUUUCGUAAAAAUAUUGGUUUAUUUGUAAUUUAUGUUCUGUCUGGAUGUUUCAGAGUCUAUCACGUUAAUUUGCAUUUUGUCCUGCAUGCUAUCUUAGACUUUUCAUGCACUGAUUUUGUUAGAUACUAUUAAAUCGUGUCAAUCUGAAAAUUAUGUAAAUGCAUGAAUAAUUCCUGAUGUCUUCUAUCUUAGACUUUUCGUAAAAAUAUUGGUUUAUUUGUAAUUCAUGUUCAGUCUGGAUGUUUCAGAGUCUAUCACGUUAAUUGGCAUUUUGUCCUGCGUGCUAUCUUAGACUUUUCAUGCACUGAUUUUGUUAGUUACUAUUAAAUCGUGUUAAUCUGAAAAUUAUGUAAAUGCAUGAAUAAUUCCUGAUGUCUUCUAAUUUUGCUCAGGAACAUCAUGAUCUCUUGUUAUCCACCUUACCUGCCGUUGAAUCGGCUCUUGAGGUAUGAAAGGUUACUGCCUAUAAUGUUUUUGUGAAAGAUCUUAGCUUGUCCUUAAUUAUAAGUUUCUUCUAACUGAGAAUGCAUAUUCCAGAGGUUUGCCGAUGUUUUAAAUCAAUAUGAACUUGCCUCUGCUCUUUUUUAUCGAGCUGACCAAGAGCGAUCCAGCCUUCUUCUGCAUGAAACAUCUGCCAAGUCAGUUGUUGCUGAAGCGACUUGUAAUUCAGAGAAAAUUCGUGCAUCAUUUGAAAUUCAGGCUCGAGAAUUUACUCAAGCAAAGGCUAGGGUAGUUGAGAUGGCUCAAGAAGCUGCAACGUGGAUGGAACAACAUGGAAGGAUCCUUGAUGCUCUGCGAAGAAACCUACUUCCAGAAAUAAAUACCUGCAUAAAGCUGAGCAAUAUAGCUGAUGCCUUGUCUCUUACGUCGGCUGUUCAGGUGGCAGGAGUUCCAUUGACCAUAGUUCCUGAGCCCACACAAGCACAAUGCCAGGAAAUAGAUAGGGAGGUUUCUCAGCUCAUUGCUGAGCUAGAUCAGGGACUUUCAUCUGCGGUAACUGGGAUCCAAGUAUAUUCUUUGGCUUUACAGAGAAUUUUACCUUUAAACUACCUUACAACUAGUGCAUUACAUGGCUGGGCACAAGUGUUCCAACUCUCUGCAAAUGCUGUGUCCUCUGAUAUUCUCUCUGUUGCCAGAAGACAAGCUGCUGAACUUACUGCAAAAGUACAAGGAGAUAAUCUUGAUUCUGUCAAACAUAGUCAUGAUGAUCUUUGUCUUAGACUGGAGAAAUAUGCAAUAGAGAUACAGAAAAUUGAAGCAGAGAGUGUAGAGCUAGAGAGCUCUAUCGGCUUGGAGACUGAAUCAAAAGCUAAGGAUCGUCUUCUUUCUGCUUUUGUUAAGUACAUGCAGUCUGCUGGUCUUGCAAGGAAAGAAGAUUCUAGUUCUUUUAACCAAUUGGGGCCUUCAAAGUUCGAUAUGACAAGGGAGGCUGGGUUGCCAGGGGAGCAUGAAGACAAGAAGGAGAAGGUGCUAUUUGUUUUAAAUGUAGCAGUAAACUCAUUGUACAAUGAGGUUAAGCACAGGGUUCUUGACAUAUUCAAUAAUUCUGCUGGAGGAAGAAAUGAAAACAAUAGAUUUGGAACUAUUUUCUCUGAGUUUGAAGAGCAAGUAGAGAAAUGCAUACUCGUAGCUGGGUUUGUUAGUGAAUUGCAGCAAUUUUUUGGUUGGGACAUGGCUAGUGUGGAUACAGAUGCAAGCCACCCACAAACUUAUCCUGAAAAGAACUGGGCUUUCAUAUUUAAAACCUCUUUGCUUUCCUGUAAGAGUUUGAUUGAGCAAAUGACUGAAGUUGCUUUGCUGGAAGUGAUGAGGUCUGCUGUUUCAUUGAAUUCAGAAGUUAUGGAUGCAUUUGGAUUCAUCUCACAAAUCCGGGGGUCCAUUGAUACAGCGUUAGAGCAGCUAUUGGAGGUUGAAUUGGAGAGGGCGUCCUUGGUUGAACUUGAAAAGAACUACUUUGUUAAGGUUGGCCUCAUUACUGAGCAACAAUUGGCUCUCGAGGAAGCUACUGUAAAGGGUAGGGAUCAUCUGUCCUGGGAAGAGGCAGAGGAGCUUGCUUCCCAAGAAGAAGCUUGCAGGGCACAGUUGGACCAACUACAUCAAACAUGGAAUGAAAGGGAGAUGCGGACAACUUCUCUCAUAAAGAGAGAAGCUGACAUUAAACAUGUCUUGAUUUCUUCUGAAUGCCAUUUUGAAUCUCUGAUUAGUACUAAAGAGGUAGGAGAGCCAAAUAUUUUAGGAAGUAAAGCACUGUUGUCCUUACUUGUUAAACCCUUCUCUGAAUUGGCUUCUGUGGAUAAAGUAUUAUCAACUUUUGGUGGUUGUGUUAUUUCUCAUUCUGAAGAGAUUUCUAAUUUAGCAGAUCUUAUGAGUUCAGGGUACUCUGUAUCUGAUUCUAUCUGGAAGUUUGGUGGCUUAUUGGACAACCAGUCUUAUUUUAUUUGGAAAGUAUGCGUCAUGGAUUCUUUUCUUGAUUCAUGCAUACAUGAUGUUGCUUCAUCUGUGGAUCAAAAUUUAGGAUUUGACCAGCUCUUCAAUGUUGUGAAGAAAAAACUUGAAGCUCAACUUCAAGAAUACAUGGGACGGUACCUGAAGGAACGAGUUGCUUCCACCUUUUUAGCUUGGUUAGACAAAGAAACUGAGAAUUUUAAACAAUUGACAGAGGCGGCAAAGGAACUUUCUGUUGACCAACUGAGAAAGGAUGUUGGUGCUGUCAGGAAGGUUCAGCUUAUGCUCGAAGAGUACUGCAAUGCGCAUGAAACUGCAAGAGCAGUGAGAUCAGCAGCUUCUAUCAUGAAAAGACAGGUAAAUGAACUCAAAGAGGCUCUUCACAAGACUGGCCUAGAGAUUGUGCAAUUAGAGUGGAUGCAUGAUGCAUUGAGCCCUUCAAACAAGAGCAGAGCUAUAUUUCAGAACUUUCUUGCUCAUGAUGAUAACUUGCAUUCCAUUAUCUUAAACCUCAGCAGACCUAAACUGCUCGAAGGUAUACAAUCUUCCAUAACACAAAUGGCUAGGUCAAUGGACUGCCUGCAAGCGUGUGAACGAAAUUCUGUUGUGGCUGAAGGGCAGCUUGAGAGAGCAAUGGGAUGGGCUUGUGGAGGUCCAACUUCCAGCAUGACUGGAAACAUGUCGAAUAAAACUUCAGGAAUUCCUCCCGAGUUUCAUGACCAUCUGAUUAGGAGACGGAAAUUGCUAUGGGAAGCUAGAGAAACUGCUUCAAACAUUGUCAAAGUUUGCAUGUCAAUACUAGAGUUUGAAGCAUCAAGAGAUGGGAUUUUUCGGAUCCCAGGAGAGACUUAUCCUCUAAGGACCAGUGGCGAUGGCAGGACAUGGCAGCAAGCAUACUUGAAUGCAUUAACAAAAUUGGAGGUUACCUACCACUCUUUUACACGUGAGUUUCCCAUGUGACCCAAUUGUAUGAACUCCUUUAUGCUAGUGGAACUUUCUUAUGACUGGUGAAUAUAUAUAUAUAUAUAUAUAUAUAUUUUUGGACCUUGUCAUAGGCACUGAGCAAGAAUGGAAGAUUGCACAAAGCAGUAUGGAAGCUGCGUCAAAUGGCUUGUAUUCUGCAACUAAUGAACUAUGCAUUGCAUCUCUUAAAGCCAAGUCAGCUUCAGGUUAUAAUGUCCUUUUGUUUAUUAUAAUAAUCAUCCAUGUUAAUAUGUGCAUAUGCAUAUAAUUUAUGGGUAAGAUACUAGGGGUGGAAGCACUGGUAUGGCAACAGUAUGUGAGAACACCUAAGACAAAUUAUGCAGAAAAAGAAAGAACAAAAGAGGUUAAGGACCAACAACCUAAAGGCUCAAGCUUAUAGGUCAAGGCCUAAGCAUAGGUUUUUAUAUAACCAGAAAACCCCUUUGUGAUGUCAUUAUUGAAGCAUUAGCAUAGCUCACAGUUAUACUUACAGAGAUUUAAUUAACAAUGUAUGGGCAUGCAGGAUUUUGGACCUUUUAGUCAAGUAGCCUAUGAUACCACACCAAAGAACUACUCAACUUAAAACUUCAAGCUAGUAUGUAAGGCUUAAAGAAUAGGUUUUUGUAUCUCUAUCAAAAAGAAGUGAGUAAUUGAACAAUAAGAGCUUAAGGACAAAACGGUUGAUUGAGAACCAUUUGACACCAGAAACUAUGGACCAAUCCAUUCCAUCUCAUUUUUUUCACUUACUAAAUCUCCUUUGCUCUCCAAAAUAUGCAAAAUUAUUUCUGGAUAAUAUCAGUUGGAUGUGCUGGUCUUUGUCUUUUGCAGGUGAGCUACAAAGCACUGUUCUUGCAAUGAGAGACUGUGCAUAUGAAGCUAGUGUUGCUCUAUCUGCCUUUGGCCGUGUUUCAAGGGGCCAAACUGCUUUGACUUCUGAAUCUGGUACCAUGCUUGAUGAGGUAUUAAACCUUAAAUAUUUGUCAUCAAUCUUCUUUUUUCUUCUUUUUGUCUUCUUUUUUUGUUCGCAGUCCAAAAAACACUGAGGCAUCAUCCUCAGGGAAUUCACUACAUUUUCUGGUCUUCUUUUAUAUGAAGAGGUGACCUCAAGUGACCUAGGCCCUCUUUUUGCCAUCGUUAGAUAUGCUUUGUUCCAUGGAGCAAAUCAGAUUUAGCACCUGAAGUCAUCUUCUGGUAAAAUCAUGCAAAAUUAACGUUGCUUAAAAUGGAACAAGUACUAAAGGAGAAAUUGGAAUGAAAAGACAACCUAAGUUGGAACACUGCCAAAGCAUCACCACAGCUCAAUUUUGCCUUGCCUUGCUUGCUUGGGCUAAUUAGAUAUCCAAAGCCUUCCUAAAAGCAAUAGCAUGUCCCUGAAGUUUUGCUAUUAAAGAAAGCAUGUAUGCUUUGUUUUUAGAUAUAGACAAUGAAGUGAGAAUAAUGGAAUGCAUGAGUAGCAGUAUAGGAGUCAAGUAUCUGUUGGUAAGCUUGUGACCUGAAUUUAACUCGCUCAAUUAAAACUUUGAUCCUCUUUCUCUGCUCUCCUUUUGUUAGACAUCAUGAUACAGAUGCUUAUCAACAUUGUUACCGUUACAUCUUGAACAACUGUAACAAGAGAAUUAAUGUCUACACAACAUGGCCUUAUUUUCUUCUAUUGCUCUGUCUAAUUUAUAGGAGGUGAUCUUACAUUAAUUUCCUUAUACAAACACCAAUAUUCAUUUUCUAUAUGUGCCACUUUCUUAACUGACAGUCUUUUUGUCUUUCCCUUUCUGCACUCUUUCUCAAAUUCUCAUGGUCUCUUCUGUUUUAUAUUUGUUGCUCAUUAUGUAGGUUCUUGCAAUAACUGAAGAUCUGCAUGAUGUUCAUACCCUGGGAAAGGAAGCUGCUGCUGUACAUCAUUCUCUUAUGGGGGAUCUUUCGAAGGUUUUUUAUGCCUAUCUGCUUGAUUUUUAGUUUCUAGAUUGCAUUCUUCUGUAUUAAAGUCGAUCUUUCUGCAUAUGUAGUGUUUCAAUUUAUUUCAUAAGAUCAGAUUAUGUUCAUGAAACCUUUUGUUUAUCUAGGUAUAUGCUCUACUGCCACUAUCAUAUGAAUGAGUUCAUAAUAUCUGUUUUUCGGCAGGCAAAUGCUAUUCUUCUUCCACUUGAAUCAGUAUUGUCAAAGGAUGUCACUGCUAUGACAGAUGCAUUGACCAGGGAAAAAGAGACCAAGAUGGAAGUAUCUCCAAUCCAUGGACAAGCCAUAUACCAGUCAUACUGUUUGAGAAUUAGGGAGGCUAUUCAGACAUUUAAGCCUCUGGUACCAUCACUUACAUCAUCUGUGAAGGGACUAUAUUCGAUACUGACGAGGCUUGCACGAACCGCAAGUCUCCACGCUGGCAAUCUCCACAAGGUAAGGUCUUAGAUUAGCACAUUUUCUGUGACUAUAAUUUGAGAAUUGCUGCCUAAUAUACUGUCUCUCUCUCUCUCUCUCUCUCUCUCUCUCGCUUUGUUAUUUUAUUUCUGGCAGGCUCUUGAAGGACUAGCAGGAAGUCAGGAUGUAAAAUCCCAGGGAAUUAGUUUGUCAAGGACAGAUCUUGAUGAUGGUCCUGAUGUAUUUGAAGACAAAGGAAGAGAGAGUCUCUCCAGAUCAGACAGUGAGAGCACUAAAGAUUUCCUUGGUGAUACUGGAUUCUCCUUGCAAGAUAAAGGAUGGAUUUCUCCACCAGAUAGUAUAUGCAGUGGCAGCUCAGAAUCUGAAAUUACAUUAGAUGAAGCAAGUUUUCCAGAUGGCUUCAGCGAUCGAGCAGAAGUAAUUGGACAAUUUCUGCAUGAAUCUAAUAACAGUGUUGUGUCAGAUUAUCUAAAUUCUUCUCACUCUUCACAAACUCAUUACCAGGAAAUUUCACUAUCUGGUCAAUCGGUAUCUAGAUGUGAGGAGCUGAACAAUAAUAAUGAACGCCUGAAAGCUGUGGCAUCACCUAGUGAAGCCUUAACUGCAUAUGCUGAAUCUUUCCAGCCUCCAAAUGAGAGUAAUUCAAAGGUGAAAUUUGACGAUAAAGGAGAUGGCAUAUCCUCAUUAAGCAAAGUAAAUAUUGAAGAUGAAAAUUUUGAAGCUAAUCCUAAUUCACACAUUGGUAAUCGGAUGGCCAGAGGUAUUGUCUACUUGUUUAUGCUAUGUGCAUCUAAACUAGUAUCUGAGCUGGUAAUUAGUCAGUGCAUGUACUGCACUAACUGAUAACUUUUGUUACUUGUUUUUUCUUUUUUCUAAUAUAACAUAUAGGAUUGGUGUAGGACUUUGAAGUCAUUUUUGUAAUCUUUGGUUACCUGUAGGUAAAAAUGCUUAUGCCAUGUCCGUUCUUAGGCGAGUUGAGAUGAAAAUAGAUGGUCGAGAUAUUGCUGAAAAUAGGUAAUCUACUUGACUCUGAAAUUUUUUUACACAGUCAAAUUUUUUAUUAGUCAAAUUAUCCCAUUUUCCAUUUCCUCAUCCCCCUCUAACAGAGAUAUUUUUACUUCUCAGAGAAAUUAGUAUUGGAGAGCAAGUGGAUUAUCUGAUUAAGCAAGCUAUGAGUAUAGAUAAUCUGUGCAAUAUGUAUGAAGGUUGGACACCGUGGAUCUGAACUUGUGUGGUCUGCAUUCUAAACAAAAGCAGUGAUCUUGAAUUUCUUGAGCGUGUCUGAGCAUCCUGCUGUAGUGCAAAUGCUCAUGAUAAUGAAUGGCUAGACUCGGGUCGGAACAUAUUCCUUGCUGGAGAAUAAGCUGCUGGACUUAUCGCCUGAGAAGGCCAUAUCCAUUUGGUUUCAGGAUCUCUCUUCCUCUUUUGUGUGAGAACUGCAAUCAAUUGGUUAUGUGCAUCUGGUGUUCUCCAUUUGUCCAAUGCCUUCCUUUCGAGGAAUUGCAGACUUCUGGGGCCAGAGGACAGACUCCAAUCCUGCAAGGGACACACCAACUUCAAGGACUUCAAACUGAACUCUUGUUGACAAACAUUCUGAGUGCUCCAGCCGGGACAGCCUGUGACGAGGUGACGAUAUCGUUGUUGACUUGAAAAGGGUUUUCAAAUUAACAUUUCACAAAACACAUUCUGUUUAAGGGUGCCAAAUUGGUGCAAAAGUCGGAUUGGUUGGUGGUGAAGCAAUGGUUUCUCCAGACAGUCGUUAUGCAACUCAGAUCGCCAACAUCCCUAGCGCAUUGCAGGUGGCAUGCGAGUUGUUCAUAUAGCAUGGGAUUAAAUAUUUAUUUCAUAAUCUGUAUGUAAUUAUAUGAAUCAUUCAGAAGUUAAAUAUUUAUCUCACGAUGCAGAAACCAAUAUUUUUAUAUCUAAUGCCAUAUUUUAUGAAAAUUUCGUCCUUAACGUCUCUCUGUUUUUAACAGAAAAUCAAAAUAGUGUAAUAAAAGCAAAAUAUAGAGAUAAAAUAGUAAUUUUUUACAAAAAAUUUAAUGUCCAUAUUUUAUAAAAAUUUUAGAUUAAAAAAAAAUUGUAUUUGCUAAACCGCUAAAAUAAAGAAAAAUUGCUAAGAUAUUUUUGUAGGAAGAAAACAAAUCCAAAUGCCAUCAACUUUAUUGUAAACGAAACAGACGGUCAGUCAGUAUUGUUGAUAACCACAAACCCAGCUGCGGUAUUCCUUCCUGGUGGUGGCCCGGUGGCCCGGAAGAAUUGUGUGCGCCUCUGUUUGUUUUCAUUAACAACAAAAAACAACCAGCAGCUUUCAUUACUCAUAUAUAAACAAGCUCUUUCACUUCACCUCUCCACAAAUAUCAACUGCCCAAAAACUUCAAAUAAAUAUCUAAACUACAUUUUCACUCCCCUUUUCCUUUUGUUCAAAUCAAGAAGAUUUUUGCAAUAUGUCUGCUCUUGUGGAUAUUUGGACUGCUGAGCAUGCCAAGCUACGUCAAAAGGGUCAGACCAUUUGGUCCACUGGCUCGACCCCUACUAAUCCUGAGUCUAGCCAUGUGGUUCGAACCGAGGAAGGAAGUAUGGUCAAGUCCUUGGCUACUUUCGUUCGGGGCAUAAGACUCAAAUCAUCUGGAUUGGCUUAUUCUGAGGCUUCAAUUUCAACGAUUGUUGAUUGCUUUAGUGCUUGAACAAUGUUAUAUAUUUUUUCUUUUUAAAUUUUCUGUGUAAAAAAAUUUCUAAUAAAAAGUUCCAUUUAGUUUGAAGUUCAAGGUGUUAUUAUAUAUUGCUGUAUCAUAUUAUAACAAUUAAUUUUGCCAAUCUCAUCAAUUGGAAAAUUGCAAUAAUUGAAGAUUUCUGUUUAAUAUAUGUUGUUGGCUCAUGCUCUGAGACUCAUAUUUUAGAUAAAUUAAUUUCCUAUUCUUUAGUUAGUCUAUCCCAUAAAAGAUAGAUUUAAAAGUUAAAAAAUUUUAAAAAAUAAGAUAAAAAUGACCUUUUCAUAUUUCAUCCAAUUUUUUUCCAUAAAUUUCAAUUCACGGUCCAUUAUCUUAACUCCACUAAAAAAAAUGUGGAUUAAUUACUCAUAUCCUUCUUCGAUAAUUUCUAUUGAAACCCAAAAAUUUAAAAUCGUUACUGAAUUUUACUUUGAAUAACAUUUUCACACUAAAUAUUAAAAUAAAAAAUACAAUAAAAUAAAAUGAGUUAAUCUAAAAUUACUCAUGGGUAAUCUUAUAUGUUUGUUAUAAUUUUGCAAUGCUAUUAACAUAUUUUGCUUUAAAAAAUAUAAAUUUCCCAAAAAAAUUCAAAAGCUCUAUAACCAGAUUAUUAUUAUUGCAAUGCAAUUCAAAAGCUAAAUAUUAUAAUUUUGCAAUGCAAUUAUUAUUAUUGUUAUUUUUUCAGGCACAUAGAUAUUUUACAUAAUUACAUCUAAUAUAAUAUCAAACAUAAAAUGUGUGCGCCGUAAACUUUACCCACCAAAACCAAAAACCAGAUUCUCUCAAAAAGCGAAAACCAGAUUUCAGAACCAUCCCAUAUCCUAUAAAACCCAAAGCAUCAAAGAAAAUAUAAACCACUGAACAGGGUUGAAAUAUCUCAAACUGUCUUUGUCGUUUUAGUUGGAGAAGAUAUUUUUGUUUGUCUGAAAUCAUGUCCGGGUCUGGGUCUGUUGAUAAGUGGAGCAGUGAGUUAGCGAAGUUACGUGAAAAGGGUCGAACCAUUUGGUCAAGUGGGUCGAGCCCUACUAGUACUAGUGAUCCUCACCCAGCAGCAGGAAGCUCCCUUACUUUGUUAUCCAGUCGUUCUGGCCGAGUUAAGCGAGUCAACUCACUCGUGUUAGUUCCCAGUUUUGAUGCUUCAUUAUCAAUGCUUUUGGAAUGCUUUAGCCCUUAAUUGCAUUUCUUCAUAUGUUUAUUAAUUAUCAGCCUUUUGUGGUUUUUAGUAUUUACAUGACACUAAUUUCUGUAAUAUGUAAUAAAAUUGUUAUUUUCUUUUAUUACUUUUAAUUCCUUUCACAAUUUAGUGUUUCUGAUUUUUUUUUUUUUUUUUUUGAUAAAUCAUGAGAAUUGCAUUCCAUGCAAACUUCACUCAUAAAAUUAACCUAUUGAAAUGUGCAAAACAAAAAAUAAUUAAAUGAUGAAAUUUGCUAAAUAAAUUCCUAAAAAAUAAAUAGAAAACAAAAAAAUUAAAAAAACAACUUUUAUUUUCAUUCACGACGACGUAUUUUUAACAAAUAAUGAGAACCGAAUCUGAGACAACAUCAUUUGUAAAUUUUAUAUAAAAAAAUUAUUGAAUGGAAAAUGAAUUCCUAAAAAGGAAUUAGAAAAUGGAGAAAAUAAAAAUAAAAAUCACAUAAUGGGGAAAAAAUGAGAGAAAAUUCGAAAUGAAAAUAGACAGCUUGGUCAUUUGAACCCACGCCCUUUCGAACCAGAAUCAAAAUUCGACGAUUUUGAACCACUCAACCAAACUAUCAUUAAUAAAUAAAAUGAUACACAACUCAAAAUGUCGUGUAAAGUUUUUCAAAACAAUGAGCUGGCAGAUCAAUCCAAUGGGAAAGUAACAGCAGACAAACCCAUUGUAUUUGGUCAAUAAAUCGAAAGUUCCAAAUCAUUUUGUUCAAUAAUUGUGAAGGUUGUGCAAUGAUACGACAACAAAAUAAUGGUCUCUUUUUCUCAUCUUUUCAACGAGUGCCACAUCUUCAACUUGCCCAAUAAUGAUAUUUCUAUGUCACAUCUCUUCAACUUGCAUGGAUUUUAUUUAUUGCCUCAUUCUUUGAAAUAUAUAAAAAUCCUUACACUUAAAUUAAUUAUAAAAUUUAUUUAAAAUAUUUUGGAUUGUGAAUUGAUUAGUUUGUGUUUAUAUUUAGUAUUUGUUUGUAAAUUUACCAAUUUUACAAAUUUAGAAAAAUAGAAUCCAAAUGAAUUCUUAUAAAAAUAACAUUAUAUUAUAUAUAAUUGUUGUGAGCGAGCACACCCAAAUACCUCUCUCGUGGAGAUAUGUAUUAGCCAGUAACGUGGAAUAUCCAAAAAUCAUAUGCUUUGGUUUAACAGUAUCUAUGGGCAGCCACACGUAGUUUUCCUUGGUCCCUGCUGCUAUUAUUCAGUCAAAACUUCCUCUGGUUUUCUUCCAGCUCACAACUCUCUCUCUCUCUCUCUUAUAAAAUAAAACCCAUCUAAACCUCAACAUCUGCUCAUAUUCUUAUACUGAACAGAACAGAACAGAAAGAAGAGAAACGAAAGGCAAAAAUGUCUUCAGUUGUAGGAACAUGUGUGAAGGAGUUAGCUAAGCUUAAAGAGAAGGUCAUAUCAAAGAGGCCAUUGUUGCUGUUGUCAAAAGCUAAAGAAGAAGAAAAGGAAGUUGAGAAAGAGAGCAAAGUGGUUCAUAAUAAAGAAAGUUGUAAUUCAAUGUCUGAGGCCACCAUUUGUAUGCUUAUGGACCGCUUUGCUCCUUGCUGAUUUCUUUCUUUCUAUAUAUAUAUAUAUAUAUAUAUAUAUAUAUAUAUAUAAAGAAUUUAAUUAGGGUCAUCGCUUGUUUUUUAUGCCUUUUGUAUAUGCAAUUAAUGCGAAUGUUUGGUCAUGUUUGUGCGUUGUAUAUUUUGUUGUUUUAGAUGCAACUAACUUUAUAUUUUCAAUCAAGUUCCCAAGCAAAAUACACUUUUAGUGCUGCAUCUUCAAAAUUUUUAUUGCAAUUAAGUGUUUAAAUUCCUCUGCCGUAUCCGGAUAUUGUCGCAAACCAGAAAUCAUACUGUUACUGCAUGUUUAUCCCAAAAAUGCUAGCUCAAUGAAGCACGAAAAUAAUAAAACAAAUAUUUUACCAAUACCCAGUUAACAGCACCGAUUCUUAGCUCACAUCAACAGAUCGAGUCCCUAACAGAUGUGAAAUUAUAUAUGAAUGGUGCUUGAUUGGCUUGAGAUCAAGAAUCAUUACAGACAUAUAUAACACAGUUAAGAUAUUCACAUUUUGGCAAUAGCUCCCUCACAAUGUUCACCAUUGUUAUCAAGAAUUCUGCUAACCCGUAGAUUUCUCCUCCUUUACCAGUCAUCCCAGCAAUUAGACACCAAUCACGGAAUUGAUUUUUGUUAACAAGAAGGUAAGUGAAAAAGGAAAGGAAAUGAAGAAAGAUAAACAAUUAAGUAAAAAACCUUAAAAGUAAUCUUAAAAAUUAUACUAAAAAAAUAUCAUUUCAAGCAAAAUUGCAGAUAUUCAAACAGAAAAAUAUUCUUUGUUAGAACGUGAGAUUUCUGUUAUAAAAUCCCAAGAAUGAAUUCUAUUGAGAAUUUAUGGAAAUGAAAAGAGUAGGCUAAUUUUAAUUCGUUGCACGAAAAGGAUAUGAAAUUGCAACAACCAGUGACCAGAAAACAACCCAACCAUUUCUCUUCCUCUAAACCUGACCCAAUCCCCAAUUUUAACAGAAAAUCCAUAUAAAAAAAUAUCCCUAUCUGGGUUUCGAAGAGAUUAUCAAAUGGGUACUCCUCUUUCUGACUGCGUUGGCACUGGAGUACUCCUCUAUCUAAUGGGUACUCUCUCUAAAAACUUUACAACCCCGCCAUAGCCAUUCUCUCUCUACUGUGUUCGGUGUUGUCCUCUCUUACAAACCCUAAAAGAUAAUUGUAUGUCUUGCUUUGGUUCACUUCGGGUUUGACUCAAUAUGAACCACGGAAUUCUUGAUUUGCUCUUGGUUUUAACGUGUUUGAGUUUGAAAAUACAUCUCAGCGCUACAUGCAGUCCUAGGUGUAUUUUCGGUUUGCCACAUUACUUAAAAACACCUUAUUGAAAAUAUUUUUAGAAUUUAAACACCUAAUUAUAAAUAUUUUUCAUUGAAACAUCAAAAUAAAUUUUCAAAAAAUGAGACAUUAAAUUUAUAAUUAACUCAUUUAUCAACAAUAAUUUAGGUUCACGGAAAUGGAAAUAAACAUAAAAAUUCGAGGUACGGCAUGCGUAAGACACGCUAAAUAAAAAAUAAUAUGUAUUGCAUGGUAAUAAAAACGAAAAAUCGUGUAAAAAAUGAGAUAAAUGUUUCCAAAACGCAAAAAAAGAAGAAUACUAUUGCUCAUAAACAAUAUAAUACAUACAUCAUUCCAUUUUAUUAUACAUCAUUCCAUUUUGUUUUAUUUUUUUUAAUUCAUAUAAAUAUAUUAUAUUUCAUUUUGUUUCAUUUUUUUUAAUUCAUUAGAGAUUUUUAUAGACUAAAAAUAGAAGGUAGCCCAUCACUUAACACCAAAUUAGUAAAAAUAAUUAUGAUCAAGAGGAUUCGAAUUCAAUACUUCCCACUUGUAUCAUACCACCAACUGAUUGGCAUUUUAUUUUAUCCUUUUUAUCUAUCUUUUUUUUAAUUGUAAAUAAUUAUCUAAUUUAUAUUUAAGAUCUUAAUUUAAAAUUUUGAUUAAUAAAUAUAUUUGAAAAUUUUAUACAAUUUUUAAAAGUAUCUAAAAAAAUAUUUUCAGAAUAUCAUGUUAAAGUGUUCAAAAUAAAUAAAAUAAUAAAACACUUUUUAAAACAUUCAAGACACGGCCGAGAGUGUCAGAGAGGUAUCAAUAUCCGACAUGGGUAAAUCCGACUUUUUCAAAUGCCUCUGCAGCUUAACUUCCAAUCCAUAUCUCAAGACUUUUCCCCCUUUUCCUAUUUACUGCUUUUUCAUCUCUUUAGCCUUGUCCUGUACAUGGUAUUGGUAGUGUUAAUCAUGAGGAUGAGCUUGCCUCAAUGCUGGCCGAAGACAAAUCAAUGGGGUCGUCUGGUUGUUCCCAGUUGAGAAUCUCCCUCGCAUAUCUAAGAGCUUCAUCGACAUUGUCAGGUUCCAACCCUGUAACUUGCGUAACAAACAGCUUACUAUCAGUAAGAGAUUCGAACAAUCUUUUAAAUUUAACUGCAAUAUAUUGGAACGCUCGUUGAGCCAAUGAAGGGUUUGUAUUUCUGGAACUGUUGGGAUUAUGGCUGAUUACUGGAUUGAAGUCGUGAAACCAUUCGCAUUGGUUAAGUGGAGACUGCUCAAUCUUUUCCUCCAACAAAUCAAACUUGUUCAGUAUGAGUAGAAACUUCUUCUCUUUAAAAGUUGGAUUUGUGACAAUGCUCUCAAAAAGUUGCUUGCUUGCAAUCAUCUUAUUAGUCGGAACUCCAUUACCGUCGUUCACAAACUCAUCGUAGUUGAUCAGUGAUACACAAAAUAACACCAUGUUAACAUCUUCAAACAUUCCUAGCCAUUUGCAGUUGCCUCCAAGAAUUCUUGGAUGAACUCUGAUAAGUUGGUACCUGAAAGUGCACACGUAACAGAUAAAUAUUGGACAAGAAUUACAAAAAUAAAUAAAGAAAUAAAUAAAAGAACUAACCUUAGUAAAGGAUCAUGGCCAUUAUCUUCACAUUCAUCAUGAGUUACCUUGGGAAAUGUAAACUCCAUGCAAGAAAGCCCUUUGGAUGAUGUAAUUCCCUCAGCAUAUAAGAUGUCCAUAUCAGAUGGCUCAUAGUCUUUAUUUGAAAUCUCAACAGCCUGCAUAGGAUGAUAACAUCAGGCAUUCAAUAAAAAGCAAUGACUAUAGAGAUGAUUAUGCUCUUCCCACAUAAAUAUUCAAACUUUUCUAUGUCGUUCAAAGAUACGAUCUCAAACGAAAACAAACCUUUGUUGAUUUGGAAAACUGAUCUUCAGGAAUUAACAGGAUGAGACUAAGAGAAGCAAUCUAGUUAGGUCCUAUAAGACUUCCAUUCUUUAAGGAGAAAUUCAGAACAAAACCAAGUCUAUUUUAGUUCUUCAUUCACUUUACUAACUAGUUUUUAAAUAGAUGCCACAUGAAACUGAGGCAGGACAUAGAGCAGAUAACCAAUAAUGAACCAACUAUGGUAUGGACUCAUGCUUUAUUUCUGAACCAUGAACAAGAAUUUGACAUUUCGAUGCAUGGAAGAACAGAUGAAAUUUAAUAAUAUUGAUGAACAGAGCCUAUUCUAGAACAUGAAUCAGUUAAAAUAGCAAUGAGGACAUGUAGCUUGUCCUACCCGUUCUAGGAAAUAAGUAGCAACUCUAGGCAGCGUUUCUAAUUCAUGCCUGCGGCUGUAAGUGGCUUGGAAGGCCUCAUUAUUCCACAAUUCCGCAACAAAAGGUGCAUAUUCACGACUGGCUGCUGGGAAUAUGGCUUCCAAAUUACCAGAUGCCAUUACGUUCAGAAGCCAAUCUGAGAAAGCUUUCAGUCUGGGACCAAUGGAAUAUAUUGUUUUGUUGUCAAUCUGACCUGCAUUAUCUGUUAAAAACUAAAUAAUUUCAGAUCUAAGAUAAGAAGAAAAAACAAAUUAAUUAUGUCAAAUUAUUCAGCCAAAAGUAAGCCUUUUAACCAUUAUAUAUCAGUGAGGGUCAAAUGAUAAAACAGGCUACCAUGAUUAGAAUGUAACUGAUGCAACCAUUGAAAUGAACAAUGACUAUUUUGAAUUGCCAUUUAAUUUACCAAGCUUUGAACUUUCAUUUCAUGGGGGCGUAGUACUUAUCUAGUUUUACAGGUUGAGUCACAAAUUGAGUAAAUUAGGAUUACAAUAGCUAAUUUGGGAAUCAAGAUUUAAUUCAAUUCUAGUUCUAGUAUAAUGCUAGGCCUCAUAGUUCAUGUUAUCUAGCAUUGUAAUUCACACCAACCGCACAAGAAGAGAACAUUAACAAUUUACUUGAAGAGGUAGAUACUAGUAUGAGGCCCAAGUACAAAACCACUUAGCAAGGACGGCAGAAUGUAAAGGAGGAUACACAAUCUUUGUGAUAUUGUAAGAGCCCAGCCCUAGUGUGAUAUUGUCCGCUUUGGGUGUCAAACCUGGCCUGAACCCUCACGGUUUUGUUUCUGGGCCAGGGAAACCUCCGCUCUGCCAGCCCAAAACGCGUCACACUAGUUCAAGGUUGCCACCCUUUAUGUAUAGGACUUCCACCUUGUGCGUAGCCGAUGUGGGAUUCGCCUAAGGUGUUGUGCCCCAUACCUGGGAUGUCACAUACACCCCCCCUUAGGGACUCAGCGUCCUCGCUGAGGUUUGCCCCACCACCGGCCAGAGGGACAAGGCUUGGCUCUGAUACCAAAUUGUAACAGCCCAGCCCAUGGUAGAUAUUGUCCGCUUUGGGUCAAGCAUGCAAAUGAUGUGAAAUCAAAUAUACAUUAUGAAUUAUGAAGUUAUGAACUAUGAAUAUGAUGUUGUGUUAUAUUAUUGACAUACCAACAUUAUGCUCCAUUGAGGUUAGGUAGAAACCAUGUAGAUAAGGCUAUGUCGCGACAUAGGAUAGCAGAUCUGCACCUCAUACAGUUUGAUACUCCGGCUACAGGCCGUUGAGUGGAUAUGAUUAUAUAUGGGCCAUAGCAGCCAAGCAUACAGUAUUCAUCCAGUUUCAUACAGUUUUUCUUAUCACUUCGGUUUCACUAUAACCUUAUGGAGCCAUACAGAUAUCUUGACAUAACAUUUCAUGAAUUAUACAGUAUUAUAAACAAUACAAAAGAUAAUCAAAGUAUCAUGAUGUGUGUGCUUAUAUGUGUUUACAUGGUUCUUUCUAUACAUGUAUGUGUUUAAUUGUUUCUUUAUAUGUUGAGAUAUCCACUGAGCUUUAUUUGCUCAGCGAGUUACCUGUUUAACUCGCAGGUUUUGAGUUUGGACCAUAGAGAGUCGGCUUACAACUGCUGUAGUUCAUCUGUAGAAGACUCAGUCUUCAGGGUAGCUACUCAUUUUAAUAUGUAUCUUUUGUCUAUCCUUUUCAUGGCAUGUACAGGGCACACAGUUGGGCCCAUUUCAUUUUGACAUUAGUAUCAUGUUUUGUAAAUAUAAAUUACAUUAUUUUUGUAUACAACAUCAGCACGUUAUUAUAUUCAGUAUACAUUAUGACUUCAGCAUGUCAGGCCAUACAGUCAACCAGUUUGUAUCGUCUCGACUCGGUUUAUUCGGGUUUACGGGUGGACCGGGAAGGGGUGUUACAGAUAUUAUAUGUUUAAAUGAAAACCGAGGGAAUAUGAAGGCUGAUCAAUAUAUAUACACACACAUUUUCUUCAUACAUUAAAGGGAAAUAGUUACCACAAGUAAUUUAUGCACCACCAGAUUCGAUUAAGAUAGAGAGAGAGAGAAGAGAUACCACAGAAAAUAAGUUUCAAGUGGAAGAACUUAAAAAUCUUUAGCAGCUAACCUGAAGAAUUACAUUGGUCAAUGAAAUGUCUUUUCUUGUUAAUCAGGCUUUCUUCCUCAAAUCGUUCACGUGCCUCAAGCAGUAUACCAAGAUAACCAUAUAAAUUACUUUGAAUCAUGAGCUUAAUAUUUUGACGCUCAUCUUCUGAAAAUGGAACACGGUAGACGAUUUUUGCCUGAAAUAAACAUCUAACUAAAUCAACAACUGGUUUCUUAUAAUACUACCAUGAAUCAAGGCAGCCUUUAGUAAUGAAAAGCAGGAGCAUACAUACAAGCCACUUUCCCUUUCAUUUCUUUUCUUCUAGUUAACAUGACAGCAUAAAACCACUUAGUACUUUUUUUUUUUUUUUCCAAACAUCACCUUUUUCCCAGUGGUUUGGAAUACACAUACAUACACAGAAAGUGUGAUGAAGCGAUUCCUCAGCAAUGUGACACUUAAGCAGAUGGAUUUGAACUGAUAAAACCAGUUAAUCACCUGAAGCAAAAUGGUCUAUUCUUCUAUGCUUGGAAAGCUUGACCACGUGAAAGAAAUGUAUUCAUAGGACUUUACAAGGAUAACAUAGCCUAUGAUGUUCAGACUCAGAAGAAUCAGCUAGCAAAGGCAUGCCAUGUUCUUUGUCAGGAAAAGCAUGAUAUCUUGCAGGAGAGCAUCACAUUAUGCUUAUAUGCAUAACAUGAAGCAGAGAAGGCAUGCGUGACAUUGUGCAACUAAGGGAUUCUUAGAUGAAUGAAGCUAGAAAGGCAAAAACAACUGCACUUAUUAUUUAAAACCAAAUUAUUCUGUUAGUAUACAAAUUUUCUGGUAUUAUUAUGUGUGUUUUCAAUUGUUGACACACAUAAUACUAGUUAAAAACCAGCAUCAGGUAUUGAGCUUCCCAGUUCUCAAAAUAUACUGAAAAACUGUCUUACACAAAAUCAAAACAAUAUAGCAUAUGGCAGAAUAUAUGACAUAUUUGUUUCUGGCUUUACUCUCAAGUAUUCUCCAUCAUGAUGCAUUUAUGCUGCGAAAGUUUAUAGGUAAGUGGAUUUUUGCUGUCAGUUUCUGAAGUUCUUUUUCUGAUUUCCUUCAAUAAACAUAGAUCCGCAUAAAGUAUCACGUAGGAUGCUAUCUAUGAUUAUGCCAAAGGAGAAGAGAUGAACAUGGUUGAAAAGAAGCUACUCCCUUAUGAGUCAUCAUAUAUGAACAGUGAUAUAAGAAAAGUAAACCCUGACUGAUUUCUUACCUGUUUAUAUAUGGUACUUGUGCCAGAUUUUCCAUAACCAACAAGAAGAAGUUUAUAAAAUGUUUUCUUGUUGAAGCUUUUUGGGUCAACACCUUUCAUUUCUUCUACACUAGGACUGGAAGAACCAGGGGGAGUUGGCAAAAAUAAUACAGCACAAAAAAACUUUGCUCUAUUCUGAAAAUGAAGCAAUCCACUAUUAUUAAAAGUUAAAUAAUUAAGUUGGAGCAGGUAAAAUAAAUAUGCCAUUCAAAACCAUAUUUAAUGAAUGGAUUCGUAAAUCCACAUGCCAACAUACCAUUUCCCAUAUUUUCCCUUUCACAUUGUUCAUUCCCUCUUCCUGAUAUGAUCCAUCUGCACUAAGCCAAAAGUGAGUUGUUCCUUCAUAUUUCACUCCUAUCAACUGCAAAGAUUUAACGAACAGCAUCAAAUCUAGAUGUUAUAAAAAAAAAAAAAAAAAAAAAAAAAAAAAACCCCCUUUUCAUUACCCAAAAAAAACCCGCAGCACUAGGAGGCCNNNNNNNNNNNNNNNNNNNNNNNNNNNNNNNNNNNNNNNNNNNNAAAAAAACUAGAGUUUAAAAAAAAAAAAAAAAAAAAAAAAAAAAAAAAUAGAACCCCUUGAUCAUAUCCAAAAAGCAACCUGCAGCAUUAGGAGCUCUGGUUUAGUUAUCUCGCGAUUAUUUAUUAAAAUAUUUGUGUUUCCAUUGCUUGCAUCUUGCUGUAUGUGACCUCCAACAUUCAAAUCGUGGCUAAUUAUUUGGCAAGGCUUCUGUCCUUCCUGUUCACCAAAAGAAUGAAUACAACAUUGCCAUAAAACUGAGUUAAUUGUUUACCAAAAUCACACACACAGACACACACAGCAGAGUUCAAUAAUCACCUUUCCCCAAAAGCCAGAUACUUUAUCAUACCAGUAGUAUCCCGGUUUUAGCUUUUUGGGUGGGUAUUGACAGUUCUGCAAUAGGAAUAAUUCCUCUUUAGAAAGACGCUUGCGAUUGACGUAAACAAGCUCUGGUGGUAGUUGAUUCACUUCACAAAACCUCUCUGAACUCAUUAUCUGUUUAACUUCCAAUUCAGGCAAUAGUUGCUUUAGCACACGAGAACAUUUUCCCAAGGUCUUUCGCCUUGCCUCAUCAAUCUUUUGACCAAUGCAAGUCACGCAUUUUCUUCCUUCUGGCAUUGACCCCAUUGCCCUCAACACGCACUUAUAACAAUACUUUGCACCACAGACAAUGCAAAUUUCCUUCUCUGUAAACCUAUUUCCUUUCAAGCAUCGAUAACAUGUUCCUUUCUUUCCAGGCUUUACAGCCAUUUGCCUCGCAGGGAUGUUACUUUCGACCUCAGAUACAUUGGAUUCUUCCUCACAUACAUCGCUGGAAUCAGGGCUUCGGAAGGUUACAGUUGAUGGCCUUCUGACAUGGCAAGGAUCUUCUUCAACACAAUCCUCUUCUUUGCCAGAAAAAAUCUCGGAUGAUAUGGAACAGGAACUUAAAUCAGAUUCUAUUGAUUCACAGUUUGCAGGAUUCAUAUAAUCCUGAAAAUAUUCACUACUAUCAUCCUUACUAUGAUCACAUAAUUCCACCAUUUGUGAGUUUCCACAUAAUUCAUGAGAAUUAUCAUGGCCACUGCAUAAUUCCAUUUUACCAGAGCUUUGAAUAUCAUCAGAUAACUUGGAUUCACACUUGCCACCAUUAGCAAAUUCCAAUCUACCAGAAGUUGAUUUUCCAUUAGAUGAUUUGGAUCCGCAAUCAAUGCCAUUUGCAUGAGCUAAUGUACUUGAUUUAUCUACCCUUUUGGAUAAUUCACUUGGCGCAUCAUUUCUGUGCAACACCCCAUUUGUUCCUAAUUUUGGCUCCUUAGAGAGCUUCUUGUUUGAUGAAUUAGACUUUACAAUAGGUUGAAUAACUGGCAAUAACACAUCCUUCGAUAGUGAGGUGGAGGCAAUUUUGUCAGCAAUUGGGAGUUGGCUAAUAUCAACAGGCACUGCUCGGGGGAUUUCAUGAAUAAUUGGAGGGCCAGAGUAUUCAGCAGCAAAUGAGUAGGAGUAGGAGUAUUCAUUAUAAUCAUCAUCAUUUUCUUCUUUAGAAGUUGAUUGUGCAAAAGGCAUAACUAUUCUAAAUACCCUGGCCAUCUUAUAGUUGUAAUGCAAAACACAACAAUAUACCAGUAAAACCAACUACUUCAACACUUCAAAGCAUAACCAAUAAUUUCAAUUAGCCAAUUGAAGCAAAACCAUUAAUGUGGGGGAAAACAUCCAGCAAAACCACUAAACUCAAAAUCCCACAAAGCAAAACCAAUAAUCUUGCUAAUUAAAGAAGCAAAAUAAAUUCUAUCAAAAAACCAUGAAGCAAGAUCAAUUUUUUCUACAAACCCAUGAAGCAAAAGUAAGUGAAAAUAAAAAUAAAGAGAAGCUCCAGUUGUUCUCCAGAAAGCUCCUCUAUCAUUCAAGAAGAAACUUGCAGCAACAUAAAAAAAUUGGAAAUGAGAUCUACAUCUUACCAGUGCAAGUCCAUCUUUGGCAAAUAGGGAGAAAAAGAGAAAACUAAGUCUUCUUGCGUUGCUGUAAACGGCAGAGACUCGAGAGAUGGAGACAUUUUCAAGAAAUUUAUUUCCUUCUCCAUUUUCCUUUUUUUUUUUUUUUCUACGUCAACGCGUUGAAGGAAAUUGCAAGGUAUUUGAUGAGAAAUUUGGCGGUUCUUUUGCAUGUACGGAUCAGACGUUGGUGAAUCCACUUAUUUUAUGCCAAAACACUGAACUUCAGAAGCCGGGUUGGUUUUGUUGGCAAUGGCAGGAAAAAGAAAAUCCAAGGAAGUGGGAACUCAAAUUUAAAUUUUCGCGGAAACUUAAAUAUAUCUUUAUUUACGGCCUAAUAAAAAACAACCCCUUACAAUUCUAUCUUAUUUUUAACUUUAUAUAUAUAUAUAUAUAUAUAUAUAUAUAUAAGUGUAAUUUAAAAUAAAAUCUGGAUAUUAGUUGAAUUUUAUGGUUGAAAUAAAGUUAGAGUUUGUUUUUUGUCCAAUUUCAAUCAUAAAGUGUAAUUAAUGUCAACGUUUUAUUUUAGAAUAUAUUUAUCAAAAAAAAAAAAAAAAAGUGUAACCGCGACAUAUCUUAUUAAAUUUCUAAACUUUAAUUUGUCGAUAUGGAAUCAAUAUACUCUUAUUUUGAUAAAAAUUAAAAUUUCUAAUUAACUAAAAGCAAAUAACAAAUUCAAGUAGCUAAUGUCAAUAAAAAGAUUCAAUAAGAUGGAAAAUAUAAGUUGAAGGGUUUAGCUUUAACACAAAUAAAAAACAAAUAAAAGUUUAUUAAUUUAAUAAACUUUGCAUUUGUCAUCAAACUAACAUAAACUACUAAUUUAAUAAAAUUCAAUUUCAGUAGCUCUAAUUUUAAUAGUGCAUAUCAACACAUUAAUCAUGUACAUUAAUAAAAAUGCUCAUCAUUAAAUUUUUGACCACAAGAAGCAUCCACCGUCAAUAUAUAUAUAUAAAUACAAAAUCAUGAUGCAUAAAAUUCUAUGCGAUUUACCUUUUGUCACUUUCAAGUUUAAAGAAUUUAUCAUGACUUUAUACUUUCAUAGAAUUUAUCAUGACUUUAUACUUUCAUAUUUCAGUAAUAAUUAUGUCACUCGCCGGAAUAAAAUGUAAAAAUAUAGUAUCAUAAUUGAACUUUUACUAAAUUAUUUAUUUUAACGAUGGAUAUAGUUAUUAAUAAAAUGUAAAAUUAUGAUAAGUUCUUACAGAUUUGAGAAUGCUGAAAAAUAAAUUGCAUAAAUUUUAAAGGCAAAUAGAUGCAUUUUAUCUGUAUAUAAAAAAGAAGCGAGCGUCGGGAGUCAUAAGUGACUAUUUGACUCAUUCCAUAAUCCAUUAAUUCAUAUUCAUGAACCAACACACACAUGAAACAUGACCACAAAAACUAUGACCCAUUCAAAGUUCUCAUUUCAUCAUUUCAAAAUCAAGUCAAAGCCCACAAAAGGAGCUUCCAAAUAAGAAAUCUCUCUCUUUAUUUUUUUUUUUUUUUUAUAUAUGUAAUUUUAAGAUUACGAGUUAAAUUUAUUAAUUAAUUGUUUUACUUAGUCCAAGCUAACAAAAAAUAUUAUUGGAAGACGAGAAGUAGCAAAUGGAUGCUCUAGAGCGACUAUCCAAACACUUAACAAGUUAAAACUUAGUGAGAGACUUUGAAUAGGUAUUUACUCAUUUUUUUGGAUUCCACGCGUCUAGAAAAUUAGUGGGAAUUGAUGGGAAAGUGGAGGAAAAUGACAUCUUUUAUCUUUUCUUUUCCGUCUAUAUUAAGAAAGAACUAUAAUCAUGGGCUUUUGAACUUCCCAAACAUAAGAAUGUAGAUUUUCAUAGAACACUUGUCGUUUAUGUGAUAUUCAUUGAACUAAUUAUUUAUUUUAAUAUUCAAUGAAACUAAAUGAAUUUUCUCCGAUCAAAUCUACUAUAUUAAUGUUGGUUUUCUCACUUAUGAGAAGAGUGGGAGAUCUCGAAUUCGAGUUCUCUCGAUCACAGUUAUUUUUACCAAUUUAGUGAGCCAAGGGAUCAAUUUAGUGAUCCAAAAAAGAAGGGCUACCGCUAUUGUAUAGCCUGCAAUAUUAUUUUGACUCAUAAAAACCUCCGAUAAAUUUAAAAAAAAAAAAAAAAACUACUAUAUUAAUACAUGGGUUCUGCUUGUUUUCUCUUUGGACUGAGAAAAAUAUUUUUGAUAUACCAUCUUUCAACAGAUAAAAAAAAUCUUUUCCUUAUCAUCUAUAAAUAAGAGGGAAACUUGUUUCUUCCUACAUAAAUUGAUUUUUCACUACAACAUCAAUUGUUUCUACCUUAAAAAUAAAUACUUGAUAAGGUGUUAAAACGCGUAAAAUAAAUAAAAUUUAUCUAGUCAGUUCAUCUCAAAAAGAAUUUUUCUUUUUAUUUUAGCCUGCAAAUUUAAAGAUCUAAUUGUUUUAUGAAGUUCAUAAUUGAGUUUUAUUAAGUUCAUCUCAAAAAGAUUUUUGUAUUAGGUUAAGGUCCAAUCCAGGCCUCAUCUUAGCCCAGAAGAAUCUACAUCUUUCCUAAUCAUUUCAUCUUGGCCCGUGAGCAGAAUUCGGUUAAAGCUUAGAAUUUGGAGGCUCAUUUAAGCCUAUAAAUUGGCUUUUUUUUUUUUUUUUUUUUUUUUAAACCACCAGUUUCCGGACCCUAUUAUCAAGGACUGACUAAUUUGGAUUGAGACUUAGUCACAGUUAAAACUCUUCACCUCUCCCUGCAGGUGUAUUUAUUGGGAAUCAAAUUCGAAAGCUUUUCCCACAUGCUCAAUCUACAUUUCAAAUUGAGCGACAACCGUAGGUCUACAAAUUAGCUUUCUAAUACAUAAUAGUAUUUAUGUUUAGGUGAACGUAUGACAUUAUGACCCUAAAUUCAAUUUAAAUUGUAAUUGAUAAGGUUAGGAAAAGUCAUAUAUAACCAAGAACAAGCAAUAACAUCAGCAAAAACAAGAGCCUCCAACCUACAACAAACGAGCUAGAGCAAGUGGGACGCAUGAAUACACAUGUAUUGCUUUCAUCCCUACCCAUAUAGAAUAGGUGGGAUAUUAGUUAGCAUAGAUUCAUAUGAGAAAAGCACUCUCAGCGGAAAUUUUCUCCAUUCACAAUGAUCGAACACUCGACCAAUAAUCUAAAUUAUUUUUACUAAGAUCAACCUUCAUUGGUGAUUGGAUACAGUUAGUUUUUGCUUAUUCUUUUUUUUUUUUUUUUUCAAAAAUAAGCUAACUGUGAAAUAAAAAAUAAAUGAUAAACUAAAGGGAAAAAAGCCAAUAAUUGAUAAAUGUGUGUACUAUACUACUUUCAAAUAUAUGUGACAGACAGUUCUCUUCUUGCUCAAUUGAUUGAUUGAUAAAACGUCACCUUCUUCUUAUUCUUCUUCUUCAAGAAUUGAUCAUCUAAAUUUCAUUUUCGUGUUUGCUUCAGCCAGAGGCAACUUAUACAAUUAAACACAAUAUGGUACUCACAAACUUGAAUGUAAGACACUUGCAUUUAUAUAUAGGUUUCUGGUUUUUAGUGCACCAAUCACUGUCUGCUUAUUUUUUCUAACAUUUUCUUUCCCAUAAUUAGUUAUUUUCAAAAAAUGAGGUGUUCAUAUAUUAUAUAUUACCAUUUCAUGUGACCAUUUUGUCGUAAUUGAGCUUUAGGUAUAUACGAAUAGUGCAGUUGCUAUCAUGUCCUGUUGAAGAAAUUUCUCAUUAAAUGCCAUAUUUUCAUGCAAUUUUGAAUUUCAGUGUAACUAUUUGUGUAUCCAUUUGGGCGGCUGGCCACACAAUCCAAAUGUACCAAUAAUAUCACUUGCGUCAAACUCUCAACAUUAAAUUCAUACGUAUAUGAAAAUAUUUUCAUUAAACACAUAAAUAUCACUAUUUUAAAGACAUUAACACUGUUUAUAUAAUUAUAUUUGGUAGAUCUUAAUGUUUAUCAGAUGCAUUUUAAUAUAAUGUAUAAAUUUUAAUUUUAUUUGAUUAAUUUGUGUAUAUUUACAUUACGGCUAAUCAAAUAUAUAGUCUAAUAUUAUAUUAAAAAACAAUUUAAUACGAAUAUAUGCUACCAUAAAUUAUUACUAGAAUCAGAAUAUCUUUUGUAGAAAUUAAUUUUGUACACUUCUGAAUAACUUUGUUACAAGCCAUAGAUGAUAAAAUAUACAAAAUUCAAAUUAUAUAUAUAUAUUUACAACUAUAUAUUCUACCAUAUAAACAAACUUCCACACCAAACUACUAUUUGAUGGCUAGUUUUCUGGUUCUUCCACGUAUGUUUUUGAGGAUAGGACACAAGAAAAUGUCCACAUUGCUUCACUCAUGAGGAAACCCUAAUUUAUAAAAAUAAAAAUAAUAAAAAAAAAGGAUGGUUGGUUGCUUGCAAUUUUGUGGUUGUUGCCUCUAAUAUCUUAUAACCAAAUGGUCCAUUCCAUUUCCUAAACCAUCGCUGUACCCCCUAUCUCAAUGACACUGUAUAUGUAUAGGACCCACCCUAUAGAAUGGCAAUGUCCUUUGGCUCCGCGUGUUUUCACGCGCCAUUUAGCUCGACUCAUCUUUCAUUUCUAACUGUGAUUUAAUGGCCUUUGUUUGUGGUCGGUGAAGAAUAACUUAGCGUAGGUGAUUGGAGGUGAUGGUUCUCUCUUAAAUCUGAUGCGUGUAUGCUUUCUGACACGCGCCAAACCUUUACGGACUUGUCUAAGCUUCCGCUGUAUACUAUCCACCGUUGAUCUCCUUUGUCGGAGUACUGAUGAUGAUCGUCUUCUUCAGCGGCUAAGCAUUUCACUGGCCCACCAUGACCACUCAAAACCGACAAGCAAAUGUGGACCCCACUGGGCUCUCUCUUCCAUACACAUAUGCUUUUAUCCGCGGACCCACUCAACACCAAAUUACCGGCCGUAGCUAAACACAGGACGGCCAUUUUGUGACCCCGGAGGACCCCACCAUGUGAUAGGUGCUUUUCACGUUCCCAAAAAUUUAUCAAUCCAUCAGAAGAACCGCAGUAAAUCACAGCUGAUUCUUGAUUUACUGCCAAUGCCGUUACCGCGCUUUCUUGUUUUAACAGUGUUUGAACCAAAAAAUGCUUUGUUCCCCUUCCCUGAAGCUCCCUUCGCCAUACUUUCACUGUUCCAUCAGCUGAACCUGUAAAUACCAAUGAAUCAAACCCAGUAACAACUGAGUUUAUCGCGUCAUCGUGCGCGUUGAUUGAUUCCAGACAUUUAUAGUCUGAAAGCCGCCAUACUUUCAGGGUUUUAUCCCAGGAUCCUGAGUAGAACAAACCCUGAUCUUCAUUCAAGCUCAAACAAGAAACCGCGUCGAAAUGCCUUAUUCGUAGAACGUUUCGAUGUCUGCGAACUUCUACGUAAUUUUUAGGGUUAACAGCUUUCUUGAUGUACUCUUUGAAAGAAGGUAAACUUCCAAUUCUUUUAUGAACACUAGGGUCUUUAGCAGACGUCUUCCAGAUUCUGAUCUUGCCAUCCUGAUGACCAGUGAAAAUCUUGUCUUUGUAUAUAACAAUGGCUUUAACUAAACCGCUAUUUGAUUUAAAUCCCGAGAACUCCUUCAGAUUCCUCCAUACUCGUAUGUUCUUGCUGUCAGAGCCAGUAUACAAUAAACCACCAGAAGAAGCUAAAGAAUAAACGUGACCUUCUUCGCGUACAAUGGAUCCAACAAGACCAUUGUUGUUGUGUUUAGGGUUGAUAAUCAUUGGAGAUGGUAUUAUCCAUGGAGAUUUAGAAUAUGGAGAUGGCUGGCUCCAAGGAGACAUCAUAUAAGGAGAAGCUUCACCACUUCUAGGUGAUCUAGGGCUUGAAAGAGAAGCUGAACUGUUUUUUUGGCUAAACGAGUAAUUAUUAUCAUCUUCUUGGUUAGGAAAGAUUGCAGGAUCAGAGUGCAAGAGAGCACCCAACUUGGGUCUGUUUAAACAACCCGUCAUUUGCUCUGCAACCAUGCCGGUUUCUUGUAUCAUAUAAGGCAAUUGAAGAAAAGCUAAGAGAAAGAACGUUAACGGUGGAUUGUUGUUGAAAGAGAAAAUAAGAGAACUACUGGAAAGAAUUGAGAAGGGUAAAGGUGUUUACAUAGGAGAGGAUUUAAGUAUUGGUUGGUGAUCUAAUGGUGUUAUAAGCUAACACGUGGAGUUAUUUGAAAUACGUAAUCGUUACGACCGGGAAACUGGGUGUUCCGGUAAUAAAAAAACGAAAAUAACUUUUGUAACAUGAAAAAUGUUUUGGAUUUUUGCAGGCGUUUAAGGUUUACACGCCAACAUUUGCAAGGGAAAACAAGAUUAAAUUUUCAGCUUUUUGUUUCAACCUUCCUAGAAUUGCAACUUUAUACUCAAUGAAAGGAAGGAAGGCAUCUUGGCAUCUUGCGGUUUUCACAUUGCUGACUUUCAAUUUAUCCAGAAACCAAGAUUUUGACCUUUGACGAUGUCAAGAUAUGUUUUUGACUGCUAAAACGAUGCCGUUUCCAUGUUUUCCAUGUCAUUUUUAUUUUAUCAUUUUUUUCCUUUUUAUAAUUAACAUCGGUUUGGAAGAGAGAAUAAUCAUUUCUGGAUUGGAAAACUACUACAUUUAAAGCCUUUUUCUAAGAUACUAGUUGUGUUCGAUAAUAAUUUUUCAAAAAACUUUUAGGAUUUUGACUAUUUUUUAUCGUGUUCGGUAAUAUAGCAUUUGAAUUAGCUUUUAGAUAUUUAGAUAACAUCUUAUAACGUUUAAUUUUAGCGUUUUAUGAAAAACUAUUCAAACAGCUAAUAACUAAUAAAUAUUAAAAUAAUUAAUUUUACCGAACAAAUCACAGUCUUCCAGAACCGAUGUUCCGGUUGCUUAUAACAAUUAACUUUUGUGUCUGGUGGCCUUAGCUGGCGUGAAUACUGAACAGUAUGUUCUGACAAUUAAGUUCUGAAUUUUGACUUCCAUAGAAAGGAGAAAACGAAAUUGCCAUAACAAGCUAGCAUAUAUUUUCAGGUGAGCUAAUAACGAAAAACCCUCGAGCUGGAAAGCUCUAAAAAGUCAUAAUUAUGUUGACUAGUUAUCACAUUUGGCAACUCAAUUCACGCAUGCUAAAUCUUAAUUACGUACCACUCGUUAAUGACUUUAUGGAUUAAAAAUUAAUUACUAUUUCAUUAUAUUUAUUAUGCCGGGCAAGAAAAUCAAAUACAUCAUAUCCUUCACGUCAAUAUUGCAAAGCUUUAAAAUGGCGGCAAACAUCAAGUCCAUUGAUAACAACCUUAGUUGAAAGCUACUAACUAAUUACCCCCAUGAUCAUUCUAGUCUUUUAGAUUUUAAUCUUUGGUUCUCAUUUAAGUUACGAACAGUCACAUGGGAAACAAAGCGCAAGUCAGAAGUUGGUGAACCAUAUGUACGCUUUUUCAUUUUUUUUUUCUUAUAUUUGUUGUAAGAAGUAUUUUUGAAUUAGUUCAAUGUAUUGAAAUUAAGUCUUCACCAUCGAUAUUAGAAUUGUAUUUUUCUAACUGCAACGACCGUUACUGAUGUUAAAAUACACUUUGAAUUUAGGAAAAUUCGAAAAUAUUUAUAGAAAGGAUAAUCACAAAUCGCGAAAAACAAUAUUAGUCUCAUUUAAAAAAUAUAUUUGUAAUAAAGCUGUAAUUCUAUAUAAAAUUAUAUUAUAUCUUACACGUGAUAACAAACCAAUAGUGAAUAAUAACGUGCAUAAGUGAAUUCUAUAAAUUUUGUAAUCUUUUUUCUCUUUAUUUUUUUUUUAAAUUUCAAAAAUUAUAUUUUGUAAUUAUGGAGUAUUUAUAUUUUAGUAGUAAAAAGAAAUAUGAUUUUCUAUUUUAAUUUGAUUAAUUUAGAAUACAUUAAUCUAAUGCAUUUAAAAAAUUUUGUAAAUAAAUUCCACCUGAUUAAUUAAAAAAAAAGUGGAGCAACUUGUGCUUUUUUAAUUUGGUUUCUCCAAAGGAAAGUGUUGAACUGUUCAUUCAUUCUUAAAGAGCGUACCGCGGCAGAACCGUUUUUUUCGUUCGCGUUUUCACGCGCCGUAAAUGUCAACGGACGAUGCCACCUAAAUCUGUGAGUCUGGCAGAAGAUAGCGACAUUUCCCUUAUUACCGUCAACGGCCGCUUGAGGGAACAUUAUCCCCUCUUUUGCCACGUGGUCCAAGAGUAGAUUCCCAUUCACCAAUCUCUUUGCGACACGGGUAAACUCAGUCAUGCUACGUUAGCAUGAAUGCAUGAUGAUAUGAGCUAAUUCCCUCUUUUGUUUUUUUCAAGAGAAUUAUGAAAUAAAAAUUAAAGAUUUUUGAGAUUGUAGAGUCUAGCUUAAAAGCAUAUGCAAUUAAAUAUUAAGAUUUUAUAUUUUCAAUGUAAGAACCAAGUUUCACAUCUUCCAAUCAAAAUAAUAUAAUACAAAAUAUCUAAUUUAUAUUAGAAAAAUUAUCAUUUAAAUUACUAACAACGUAUUGUUGAAGCGGUAAAUAAAUUCAAUUUUUAUAAAAAUAAAAAUACAAAUUCGACUGCAUAAAGUAUAAGAGAUUACACCUUCUAUUUCUAUAAAAAGAAAAAUAGCUUAAACUUUCUUAUUAAAUAAGUAGUAUAUUCUUAAUUAAAUAACUAAAGGAAACAUUUGCUUAAAGUUCAAAUUUAAUUUUUUGUUUUCAUAUCUAUAUUACUUUUAGUAAAUUUGACUUGUAAUUUCGAAUUUUUUGGAACAACUUCAAUAAUAUUGAGAUGCAAAAUUCAUUCAUAUUAUUCAAAUAAAAUAAUCUUUAAAAGCAUAACAAUUAAAUAAAUAAAUUGACAAGUUAAACAUUAUUUUAACAUAUAUGUAAGUUGGGAGUGGUGGGAAAACAACGGUUCUUCUAUAUAAUAAAGAAAAUCCCUUUCAAACCUACGGAUUGUGGUUCAGUUAACAAUGCAAGCUGGACAUAUGGAAAAAACUAUCGGUUCGAUCCCACUAAAUGCACAUAUAGGGAAAAGUGAGGAGUUUUAAUUGUGACUAAGUCUCUAGUCAGAUUUGGCGGUUCUUAAUAAUGAUGAGGUCCAGAUACCGAUGAUUUAAAAAAUAAAACAGACAAGCGCUUUCAAAAACUUACGGGAAAAAUAUAAUAAACUGAGUUAGGUGCUUCUUUGUAUCACCCUGUGUAUGUUAACCUAAUUUCAGUUAGACAUCAUUCUUAUUAAGCCACUGGGUUGUCCAUUCUUGGAAAAUUUUCUCUAAAUUAACAAAUGAAAAUUUAUUAUUUAUAAAUAUUAUUUCAGAAUUAAAGUCAGGUUCCUGAAACAAAAUAAAAAUUUAUUUGAGUGUGAAUUUGAAAUACCUAAAGAACAUACAUUAAUUUCAAAUUCAAGUCCAAGAAGUUAUCAUCCUCACUUUAUGAAUCUCUUUACAUUCAUCUGUAUCUAUCUAUAAUUUAUGAUAUAUGUAAUUAUACACAUAAAUUGACUAAGAAAUAUUUUUUAAGAAAUCGUUAAUAAACAUUUUUAAUAGUUAAAAUUAAUUAUAUAUAUUUCUAUAAGCAAUCUUGUUUCCCAGUUUACAAAUUAUUUCCUGAUUAACAUAAAUUGUUGCCUAAUUGUUGUAUUUUCUAUUUGAUUUCAUUGGUACCUAAUUAAUUAACAAUUGAUAUAUUUUUAUUUUUUCUAUUUAAUUUCAUUCAUUCCUUAUAAAUACGACAUACAAAUUUUUAAUAUUAUAUGGUAUAGAAGUAAAUAAAUUUGAAGGAAAAAUCUAGAUGAGUGCAUGCAUUUUUUUUUUCUUAUUAAGUAUUUUAAUAAAUGAUUUUUUUUAUCAUUGUCAUUUGAUAUAUACAACUUAUUUUUAUAUACAAAUAUAUCUUUAAAAUAAACAAUUUUUUGUUUAUAUUUCCUUUAUAUCAACUAAGUUCAUAAGUUUUUAGAAUAUAGCAAAAUUAUUCUAUAUUUCUCAUAGGAAAAAAAUUUUUAUAGUAUUAUUCCCUAAAAAGAAUUAUAGUAAUAUUAUUAAAUAUUUUCUAUUUAAUAAUAACUGUUGUCCUAUAUUGAUUUGCAAAAUGUGUUCAAUCAAAAUAUAAGACUUGACGAUCUUCAUUUUCUUGAACUAACUUUUAAGAAAUGGGUUAGAUCUGAUCUAUUUUACUAACAUUGUAUCAGAGCUCAUAUAUAUUUACCUACAAACUUCAUGCUCUAGAUGUUAAUUCUAAAAUUUAUAACAAUUAAAUAUAUCAAAACAUGCUAAAAUGAAAAUAUACAAACAAGCAAAUUAACAGAAUAAAUGAUAAGUAAAUAAUAGAAUAUAUAAAAAUAAUUUUCAUUAAUAAUUUUCAAUAGUAGGCUUCACAAAAUCAUUCAAAUUGUCUAUAUGCAUUGCAUCCAAAUUAAUUUUCAUUUUCUUCCUAUUUAUGUAGGAAAUAAUUACAUUUAUUGUGUGACGGUAAGAAAAAAAAAAAAAAAUUUAUGUUUCGUGUCAAAUGGAAGGAACAGAAUAGUAUAAGACAUAUAUCGUUAAUGGGAGCUAUGCUAAUGUCACAGUCAUCGUAGGCUACAAGUUGUAACAGAGGACACUUGUCUCUAUUCUCUACAUACCAUACAAAACUAGAAUUUGAAAGAGCUAUAUCUGUACCCAAGGAAGGAAGAACAACUUUAAUCCUGCAUAAGACAAGUGUAAAGUGCAAAAUCCUUGUCUGCCAAUAUUUAAUAUUUAAUAAUUGCAAAUAUUUAUAUUUUGAUAUUUAUUGAUAAAUAUGAGGAGAUGACAAAAGAAAGAACAUAUUUUUAUUUUUAAUUAAUUAAUAAUAUGUCUGUUAACCAUCAAACAUGUCUCUAAUAAUAAUAAUUGAUGUAUUGCUUACUUUUAUUUGUUAAUUAAAUUAAAUAAUUCUUUUAUAUACAAUAUAUUAUUACUCAAAUCUGGGAUUUGUCUGAUAAUCUUCAAACACUUUUCUUUACAGAUGAUCAAACUUUCUGUAAUCUUGCUGAUUUCAUGGCAACUGGCAAGAUUAUAUUAGCAUAAACAAAUGGCUACAAGAAAAUAUAUGUAAAUUAAAAAAAUAUAUUUUUAGAGUUUUAUAUGGCACGUAGCUUUGUAUCAGCUACAAAGCAAAUCAUGCAUGCGAAAUUUUUUUUGCUUGACAUUGACGACAUGUCGCUUGAAUACAUAAGCAGGAAGGUCUAGAAAUUAAUAACAAUGAGUAGGACUAAGACAAGUGUUCUUUAAUUAAUUAAAAUUAAAUAAUUAACCAGGUCUUUUAAUACCAAAAAAGUAACCAACCAGGUUUUGAAUUUUUAUAUAUGAUUUAUGACUAAGGACUUAACCACAAUCCCUUAAAAAAAAUUCACAUAUCUUGUCGUGUUGAAUGAUCUUGUUGUCAUUGGAUUAUAUAUUUUAAUAAAAUGGUAUUAUAGCAAUAGGAAUUAGGGUUCAUUCAACUAGAGAAAAAAAAAAUUAAUUAUUAGGAAUUUAAUCAUACAUCCAAGAUUUGAAAUAUAAUAAAAAAAAAAAUUAAAAGUGGAAUGAAAUUUACAUAACCCAAAUUGAAAUUGAAAUUUAUUAAAAUUUCAACAUGAAUGAAUCUCGAAACGUUAAUGAAAUCUGAUCAUUGGAGUGAAACUUACUUAACCCAAAGCGAAUAUAACAAAUAUUAAAACUUAAGAGCAAUCAAAAUAAAUAAAUUUAUACUAAGAUCAUUCUAUUUUGAUAUUUUAUUAAAAAGGCUUAAUAUGAAAUUAGAAAAAUCACACCUCAAAAUUAAAUUGUUGCAUUGUAUUUUUAAGUUCAAUCAUAAUUCCAUUUUGAUAGUACAGUGUUGGAAGGGAAUCAUGUGUACUUUACACAUCCUUUUUUUGGGUGCUUCAAAGAAAAAUAUGAUUGUAAAACUAUGGUGUCUUAGACAUUAUUGUGGUUCAUAUCAGAAUCUUUCUAACAUAUCUCAAACAAAACAGCAGGUACAGAAAGAACUGUUCCUUCUAUCAUUGCUGCUAUGUUGUUGGCCAUACACAAUUAUUUCUUGGAAAAACCCAGAUACUUCUCUUUGUUGUCCUUUCCUCUUGUAUGGUUGUAUCUUGUUCUUUUUUCACUUUUCAUGCUUUUUAUUGUUUUUUUUUAAUUAAUUCUAAAAAUCUCUUUUAUUGAUUAAUAUUUUAAAAAUGCAACUCAGCCAAUCUAACAUAAUCUAAUGAAAUUUUGCAUUUUUUUUUUUAAAUCACCCAAAUUUCUGUUAUCGGAAUUUAUUCAUUAAUAAUCAAUAGUUACGAGAGAAGAACAUUAUUAAAAUAGGAUUAUUCAUUAUAUAUGACUAGUAUUAAGUACAUUAGUAACUAAUAAGAAUUGGUUUGAGUGGAAAGAAUUUGGAUCCUUUAAGCAAGAGAUCGAGCGACACGAAUAAAAUUAGAGUUAUUGUCUAAUGGGCUAGGGAUACCCGUCGCAUAAAUAAAAAAAUUAAGCGCAUUUGAACGUAUAAGUAUUAAGAUUAUAUUUAUAUAUAAUCUUAAAAAAAAUAAUAUGAGGAACAUAAUUGCUUCUGGCAUAAUUAUUAGCAAUAUAGGCAUUAUUACAUGAGAAAUUGACAUACGAAAGAGACAAAUAGACAGCAAAUAGAUUUGUUCCACAAUAACAUACACAGUAGUAGUGAAGUGACUCUUAGCAUUCAAAUCAAAACUAUAUAUAUCUCAUCAUCAUCACCAUCACCAUCACGAUCUUCUUCAGAACCCUAAUUUUGUGUUCAUGCUUUGUUCAACUCAAAUUGCAUUUUUAUCUUAUCUUGCAACUUUUUAUGAAAAAUGUAAGGGGGCCACCAGUAGACCAAAGAACUUGGAAAUGUCCAAUUGAAUGAAAUUUCAAGUCAUCCAGAGAAUUUCCAGAACAGUAAGUGCUGUACACUUGGCUUAUUGUUAUCAGGAAAUAGAAAAGUAGCCUUCUUGCUUUCAAAUUAAUGCCCUGUUUGCCACUAUUAGUGCUCUACACUUGGCUGUUCUUGGAGCUAUCCAUUUUUGUAUCUUUCUAUCAAUUAGGAGUGGCACUAAAAAAUUGUUGAAUAAGGAAAGGAAAAUGUGGGAGCUGCCAAUCAAGAGUAAUAUAUAUAAUAAAUUACAUUUCUAUUUAUGGGAGUUUAUUUUUUAAAAAACAAAGAAGGAAAAAUUAUAAAAAAAUAUUAAAAAAAAAAAAAAACUAAGAGAAGUCUCCUUUCUAAAUCUAAUAGGAAAAGAUGCAUUUACACAAGAGAAAGAGUCUAACUAAUAAUUUUUUUUUCAUUUGUUCAGAGCAUUUUCCACAUUCUUAUAUGAAUAAUCCAAAAACUGUGCAACUAAAGUCAAAUCCUUACUCGCCAAACAUGCCCCAAAUUUCAGAUAACUUUAUCCAAACUUCUUCCUUCCGACACAUACUCACGUAUAUAAUAAUACAGUAAUACACCUAAUCAAUUUGAUAUUGAUAUAUAACAUGUGGGUCGAAUCUGGUUCUACUCGGAUUUCAAACCCGACCCAGGAACAUUGGAAGAAAUUAGGAUUGCCUAACGAAGGAAUUUUGUAAAUUAAUGGGCCAAAGGUAGCCCAGGUUUGUCAAAUUCUUAUAGGGUUUAAAAUCUCCAACGCGGCCCAAAUAUUCUGUUAAGCCCAACAAUCUGUCUUGUCCUUCAAGUCGCCAACUUCACUGCACCUACUCAGGAGCCUAAAAACCAGAGACCAGUCCAGAGAGCUUUCUGUUAGAAUAACUGUUUAUAUUAUAUGAACUCGAUUUUUCUUAUUUUUUUCAAAAAAUGGAAUUUAUAAUCGAAGAAGGAAAGCAGCUUCAUGAAGAUUGCUCCACUCUAAUUAUGGUUAUUUCUUUUCUUUUUUUUUUUUUCACAAUUUUCAUAUUCUGAUAAAUUCUUUGAAGUUAGGGUUUGGUAGAGUAUAGCUCUGUUGGGAUGCUCGGAAAAUGUUUGGAUUUAAAAAAAAAAUCCUACCUUGUAUUCAACUUUAUAUUUAACAUUUUUUGCCUGGUUUGUUAGCCUGCUUUAUCGAUUGGAAAUGUGGGGCAGCUAGCUUUGGAUCUCUUAGUAUCGUCAACAAAAGCGCAGAGGAUUGGGCACUUGGACGAUCCCUACGUUCUUCCUUGUGUUGGUAAUGACGCCUAUGGGCCAAUUCCUUGUGGUGAACUUGCUCUACCUCUUGAAGGUCACUGUUUCAGCUUUUCAAUGUUGCUUUGGCAUUAUUAACUCUGAUAUUGCGAUUGUGAUAUUGAUGUUGUUGAGAAAUUUCUAUAUUACGAUUACUUUGAAAUUCGCGAGUUAUUGUUGCUUGUCUUCGGUCAUUUCUGCAGGGGUUGAAUGAGUAUUUUAUUUCAUAUGUUGCAGCUUAUGAUUCACCUGCUAAUGCAAUUACUCUUGUCCAACAACGAUCACCUGUUGUUCAGGUAGUAUUUGAAUUUAGUAUUUCGUUUCUAUAUCAAUUUUGAAAUGAACUCGUACAUCAUUAUUUUGUAGAUUGUGUGCGUAUCUGUAUGCUAAACGAAAAUGUUUCUAGUUCAAGUCUUGAAAAUUUGGGGGACUCCCUCCUCCAGUAUCUUGAUGCUUGGGGCUUAUGUUGUGCCUGUAGCUAAAACAAUGCAAAACUUGAAACUUUCUAGAAGGAGUUGUGGUGUAUAAAUACUUGUUUGCUUGAACAAAGGUUUAUUGGUCAUGAUGUGAACUUAUAUGGAAACAUAGAAAAAUCCAUGCUGAGACAAGCACCUUCAUAUGCUCAGGCCAUCCCUGUGCUAAAUUGGACUGCUAUAGAAGAGGAAAAAUACAGAGAAAUGAACCAUGUGGGAAAAAAAAGGGGAAAAAAGAAACGCAAUUAAUCACAAUUGGGACCUCAAUUCCAAUCCUUUUGCAUUGCGUGCUAACUAGAAUAGUGAGAGAGAAAGCCAAAGAGUUGAUUGGGAACACGCAAAUCAGAGUUUCAUUUUGCAUUUACAUCUUUCAUAUGUCUGUCAUCAACUUUGGAAAAACACUUGUAACCAGGCAUGUGAAAUUGAAUUCAUGAGUUGCUAUAUUUUAAAAUUCUAAUUCUGGCCACUCGCCUUUGGGAAAUUGUUGAUUGAUAAAAGUUGUUCAAACAGGGGAUGAUGCUCCAAUUUGCUAAAAACUUGGCAAAUUUUGCUGCUGCUAGUGGAACGAAGCACAUUGUUUUGCUUUCUGGCUUAGACUUUGGCAGAUGGCAAGGAAUUGAUACGUCAAGGUAUUUAGAGCUUCUUCACUGUGUGCUUAUCAGUUGUCAGUCUUAAAAUUAUUUGCGGUCAUCUGGUGCCCAGUCACUAAGGAUUCCUGGUCACCUGGUUAAGUAACAACAUGGUCUUUGUCCUCAAAGCUUAGUUACAUGUAUAAGAACUUCGUCAACUAUCUCUUUCUUCUGAAGAAGAUAAUAAAUGAUACAUUGAUUGGUAUGCUCAGUUUUUAAAUGGAAAGUUACAAAUCCAUUUUUCACUGAACCAUAUACAUUAAAAGCAUGAAUUCUUAACUAAUUCCUGUCAGGAAUGGACAGUUAAAAGUGGAUUUGCAUUAUAUUAGCACUUCCUGCCUUCCUGGCAUCCAAGCACUGAACUGAUUAUGCUUUUUGCGACUGCAUAAGUAUUUGAUGCUGUUAACUGUCAGUUUAUCAUUUCAGUGUUUUGCAGACAUAUUACCUAUCUAGUACCAAUAGUGACGGAUCAGAUGAUUAUUGUGAAAAACUUGGGUGGAAGAGACUGCAGGAAUACAACCCUGCUCAGAGGUCUUGGAAAUAUCUUAGUGCUUUGGCCGAAGGAAAUGCUACGGGAGAAAACAGAUUGCCUUUCGAAGAUGAACUAGAAGAAGAGGAUUACUAUCCAAGUUUGCCUUUUGCUGCUCUCUUUUCUUGUUUUAAGGUACCCUUUGUGAAUUUAAUUAGAAAAUAUCUUGAAUCAAGAAUAUUUGAACUCAUCCUAUUAUCUUUUUUGUUUGUAAGCCUUCAAAUUUGAUUUUACAUUUUGUGUUGUUGCUGUAACUUUUGUUUUCUUUGUAGUUCGUAGGCUGUCAUCAUUGUGUGAACUAUUGCACUACAAGUGUAUGUCUUUUUGCCAUAAGUUCCUAGAGUGUCUUCAUUGUCUGUCUAGCUUUCACUUGUUUGUCAUAGUGACUUUUUGAGUCUAAAUGUAAUGUUCAAUGCAAAUAGAUCAGAGGGAUUUGACUUGUGGUUCUUGUUUUCUGAAUCAGGCAAAAGGUUUGAAAGUUACAUGCUUAUUAUGUUACUGCUCUGAAGGAGAUAACAUACCUGAUGCUUUUCAUUUGGCUGAGGCGGCAUGCAAACUCUUGGGGCUGAGUCCAGAUAAUUUCCAUGGUGGGUUUUGCGAUAGACGUCUAUUUUAUUAGCAUUUUAUAGUUUAAUUUUGAGAAAACAUGAUUGAAAGCUUUGAAUUUCAUUUAGUAUGCUGAAAAUAAUAUUGUGCUUAGAGAUCAUUUUAUAGUAAUGAAACACGAGCAAUAACCCUGUUUUUUCUGUUUAUGUUUUCUUUUUUCAGGUGAUGAAGGUAAAUGGCUUAUCCCAUUUUCAUGGAAGACCGUGUACGGACCACCCCCAGAUAUGUCUAUCUUUUAAGCCUCUGAUUAACUAAACAACGGAAGGUAAUAUUAAUGACAUGCCUAGUGUUCUUCUCAGUUAGUGAGUUUCUUUUUUUUUUUUUUUUUAAAUCAAUUGUCAGUUAUUUUAAUCUCCCUUUUGGUUCAGUUUACCCCUUAGAUUUGCAAUUCAUGGGUGAUUGGCCUAAAAAGCUUCUAAAUUUAUCCGCUUUUUAUAGAAAUUGCACCUGAAUUUAGGGUGUAAUUUAAACCAAAAAAAAAAAUCAAUUUUAUAGCCUUUUUUUUUUUUUUUUUUUCCCUGAAUAACAAGUUCGUUCAUAGGGCAAAUUAGACUUUAGUUCCAAUCGAAAUCUUCAUCCUUUAAACUACCAUUCUCAACGGCACAUGCUGUGAAUUCACCCAUUUGAAGAUGCAGUGAAGAUGAAAGGCAUGGUUGCGUACACCCCAAACUAUAAAAAGUGAAAAAGUGAUGAUCAGUGCCAAUGUUUUAAAAAUAAUACUGCAACAAUUCAAAAUUUUCCUACACAUUACAUAGAACACCCAUCAGGAUAUAGAAAGCAAAAGGGAUUUCACUAACUAAUUGAGAAGUAGACUAUUUAAUCCAAGAAUUUGAUUCUUCACUUCAGAACCACAUUCCAUCUUCCAACAUAAUAGUUGCAUUGCACAUUAUUUAUA